AAAAAAUUUAUUAGUUUUACAAUUUUACAAAAGUGAAAAAGUGGGUAACGAGUGGGUGAUGUUCGUCGUGUUUCUCUCGCUCGUUGGGGUGUUCACUACGCGGAUGCGGCGAAAGAGUUAGUGUGAAGGUGGUGGAGGUGGAAUGAGCGCUCGAAGUUGCCACCAGUGGUAGAAAUAUAAUUCUAAUCUGCAAAAAAAAAGAAAAAAAAAAGUGAUCUACUUUUGUAAAAGCGAAAAACUAUUUUUUUUACCAAAAAACUUUAUAUUUUUAUUAUAUACAAUAUAAAAAUAUUAAUUAAAUAUUGAUGACGCCAGUCAAUUUAAUGAUCCAGGAAUCGAUAAGCUAGCAAUAUUUCUUAAUAGCAAAUAAUUAUUAUAAAUUUUAAAACACCCAUCAAAAGUGCUGAUUUUAUAAUAAUUUAUUAAUAUAUGAGUUUUGUAAUUCGAAGAAUUUCAAUUGAUUCAUACUGAUCUUUUAAAUAUUAUACUAAUUUGCCAGCAUAUUAAAAAAUCUAAAUAAAAUUUUUCUGGAGAGACUACGGAUAUACCUUUGAGUCGGAGAGAUCUCUUAAAAAGUUACUGAUGUGGUGGUACGUUAGUAUGUUACGCAGACAGACGAAAUAUAAUAAAAAAUUAAAAAAGUACCCUUGGCAUUAUACCAAUAUAUAAAAAAAUUAGUUUUUGUAAUUUUUUUUGUCCCAUUUGGUGGCAUCCCAGCUGGUCCUUAGUUGGAAUUUGCAAUGUGCUCCUCAGGUCUAGUUUGGUGUGCUUCUCCAUCUACAAAAUAAAUGGUAAAUUAAUUAUCAAAAAAUAAAAAUAAAAAUAUAUAGAACUCAAUCUAAUAGUGCUUUAUUUAAUAUCUUAUAAAUUUUAAAAAUUGUUACAUUUAUCAAUCUAUGGAUAAUGAAGCACGGAGCUUUAAUACCUUAUUAAAAGCAUAUUUUUUACGAUAAUAAAAUAUCUUUAUAGUAUCUAUUAAAGUUUUUCCCUACAUAAAAUAAAAUAAACUAAAGUCGGUGGAUGACGUGGUAGACCCGGUUCACCAAAAAUUCCACAUCCCUCUCCUACUAACAACUCAACAAGUCGUCAUUACAGGUGACGUAUCUCUCUCUCUCUCUCUCCUCCUUUUCUCUCUCUCUCUCUACACCUCUCUCUUUCUCUCUCUCCUCCUUUUCUCUCUCUCUUUCUACACCUCUCUCUUUCUUUCUCUCUCUUCUCCUCUCUCUCUCUCUACACACCUCCUUUCUUUUUCUCCUCCUCUCCUCUCUCUCUCUCUACAUCUCUCUUUCUCUCUCUCCUCCUCUCUCUCUCAUCUCUCUUUCUCUCUCUACAUCUCUCUUUCUCUCUCUCCUCCUCUCUCUCUCAUCUCUCUUUCUCUCUCUACAUCUCUCUUUCUCUCUUCUCUCUCUACAUCUCUCUCUCUCUUCUCCUCUCCACUCUCUCUCUGCAUCUCUCCUUUCUCUCCUCUCCACUCUCUCUCUCUACAUCUCUCCUUUCUCUCUCUCUCCUCUCCACUCUCUCUCUCUACAUCUCUCCUUUCUCUCUCUCUCCUCUCCUCUCUCUACAUCUCUUCUCUCUCUCUCUCUCUCUCUCUCUCUCUCUCUCUCUCUCUCUCUCUCUCUCCCCAUUUUAAUCCACUACGCAUUUUCCUCUACUCAGAACCAGCCAUGGGUAAUCACAAAGAGACCCUAUAAGAUCGAAACCCUAGGAGGAGAAAAAAGGUACCAUCUUUUUAUCUUUUUUUAUUUAUUUUCCCCCAAUUCUUUUCCCCCCUUUCGAUCAAUUGCAAAAUGUGGCAUUUUUUUCUCCCUAAUAACGAUUAAUUCUCCAUUUGGUAUGAUGCUGCAGUUAUCAUUGUACAUUCGAGUAAUUUGGAGGUGUUAUAGAAUGGGAAAGUGUGCUUUAAUUUACUAUUAUUAUCUGGGAACAAUUUUGAUUUUUUUGUCAAAUUUUAAAGGGUCGGUGUGAAUCCAUGAACAUCAUGUUUAGCAUUAUUUUUUUAUAUUGUUAUUUUGUUCAUUAUGGCCAAAUUGCUACUGAGAAUAACCUGUCCUAGAAUUGUAUGCAAGUAAACCGAUUUAAUGUGUUAAAAUUGCUCUCCUAGGCUUAAUUUUGCGCAUUUUUUGGUUGUUUUUAACCACAAUUUUGAGUAAACCUAAUCAAAUUUCCACACAAUGUGGGUAUUUUCUUUACAUUCUCCUUUUUCACAUCUUUGUUCAUACUAUGUUUGUUUAUUGCGGCAUUGGUCGAAGUUUUCAAAGAGUCUACUUUGUUGCAGUAGCUUUUGCCAAAGAUAUGGCCGAGGAAUUCGAAGAAAAUUGUGAAAAUAACGACCGGCACGGCGAGAUCUAUCAAGAAAAAGUAUACGACGCGUUUGUUUGCCCCCUCACUAAGCAAAUUAUGCGCGAUCCCGUUACCAUCGAAACAGGGUACACCUUCGAUAGAGAAGCAAUUUUGAAAUGGUUCAGGGAAUGUCAGAACAACGGAAGGAAACUCGCGUGCCCCUUGACACGAAAGGAGCUCCGCAGCACCGAUCUUAACCCUAGUAUCGCUCUUCGUAAUGCUAUUGAUGAAUGGACGCAAAGAAAUGAAGCUAAGGAGCUCGAUAAAGCGCACAGAUUACUGCUGAGUUCGGCGAGCUCAGAACAAGAUGCUUUGAGGGCUCUAGAGUUUGUUGUCAAUGUUUCCUGGAAAAGAAGCCGUGCUGUAUAUAAUGGCGGGUUGAUACCGACGAUUUCUGGCUUGUUGAAGAGCGGCAGCAUAACCCUUCGCUCUAAAGCACUCGAGGUUCUUCGCAUUGUAGCCGAGGAAAACAAUGAAAAUAAGGUUUUUUUUCUUCCUUUUCUUUUUUCAAAAUUUCGGGAACUGACAUUUUGUUUCCGAAGUUAUUGAUUUGUCACUUACUUUCUAGGAAGAUAUUGGCGCGGGAGACACCAUACGCACGAUCGUAAAGUUUCUCCUGCAUGAAUAUAUCAAGGAGAGGGAGUUAGCUGUCGCUCUCUUAUGUGAGCUUUCGAAGUCCGAAUCUUUGUGCGAAAAGAUUGGUGGAGUCGACGGGGCGAUUCUCAUAUUGGUAGGAUUGGCGAGUAGCAAAUCGGAAAACAUCGUAGUCGUUGAGAGAGCCGAGCAUACGCUGAAGAAUCUGGAGAAGUGCGAGAAAAAUAUUAAGCAAAUGGCGGAAAAUGGGAGGCUUCAGCCCCUUCUUACGAAACUCCUCGAAGGUGCUUCCUCCCUUUCUAUAAUAUCUGUAACAUCUUUGUCCUGUGUUAUAUUCAUAUUCUCCUUAUCAUGAUCAGUGUAUCACAAAUUUUUCGGUUCUGAAUCAAUUCUCGUAAUCUGUCAUUCUGUUUGUAAAGUUGGUUAUGGCAUACUCGUAAGUCGUGACUUUUACAUCCAUUGAUUCUACAUCUGAAGCAUCAUCGAAUCGCUUACCUCUGAUUAGUAACGAGUUUAUACUAAACUUAGUUAAGAUGCUAUUGUGAGCAAUUUUAUCGGCCUGUCGGAUGAAAUUGUAAAUCACUUUUACAAGAACUUGGUUUCAGGUACGAAUCCCGCGUACUGCAAAAUUUGUCUUCAGUUAUGAAAUAUCAUUUGCUUAGAGGGACCAUUUUUCUUUUUUCUUUUUCGAAACUUACUCUUUAUUAGUACAAAUGUGCAACGGGCGAUAGCGAUAGCCGAGCAGCUUCUCACGCAACUUGUUCUGUAAAAUUUGAGCAGGUUCGCCGGAAACCCAGCUAUCGAUGGCUUUAUACCUUGGCGAACUCAUUCUCGCCAACGACGUAAAGGUCCUUGUGGCACAAACGGCCGGUCCGACGCUGAUAACCAUUAUGACGACGGGAACCGUGCAAGCAAGAGAAGCUACUUUAAAAGCCCUGAAUCAGAUCUCGUCGAACGAAUCGAGCGCCAGCGUACUAAUCGAGGCCGGCAUCCUCCCCCCUCUCGUCAGGGACCUCUUUGCCGUCGGCUGCGGCCGCCUCCCAACGCGGCUGAAGGAGAUGUCCGCCGGCGUCCUGUCCAACCUCGUGGCGUCCGGCGCAGAUCUCGAGGCUGUCCCGUUAGACGACGGCGACCAAACUCUUCUCUCAGAGGAUGUCGUCCACAACCUGCUCCACCUCAUCAGCAACACCGGCCCGGCGAUCGAGCACAGGCUUCUUCAAGUCCUGGUUGGACUGACGAGUUCGCCGACUGCGGUUUCGUACAUUGUUUCCGGCAUUAAAAGCUCAGGUGCCGUUAUCAGUUUAGUCCAAUUUAUCGACGCCGCGCAUACAGAUGUUCGCGUGGCCGCGCUGAAGCUCUUACAUAACAUCUCUCCUCACAUGAGCAUCGAGCUCGCAGAAACUCUCGGAGGUAGUUCCAGCCAUUUGGGCACCGUACUUGAUGCCAUUUCGGACAACAACGGGAUCGCAGAAGAACAAGCCGCGGCCAUCGGGCUUCUGGCUGAGCUUCCUGAGAUGGACUCUGGCCUCACCAAACAGCUUUUCAAACAAGGAGCUUUCAGAGUUGUCAUUACAAAACUGCUCAGUAUAAGGGACGGCGGGGCUCGCAGCAACCGCUACAUAGGGCCUUUUCAGGAAGGGCUCGUGCGAGUGCUCUCAAGGCUUACGUACUGCUUAGCGGAGCCCGAACACAUCGCCUUCGCAAAGGAGUACGAUCUCGCCACAGUUUUCGCCGGUCUAAUCGAAGCAAACGGGAGCGAUAAGGUGAUAAUAGCUUCAGCUUUCGCACUCGAGAACCUCUCGCAAGAAUCCAAGUACUUGACAGCAAAACCUGAGCCGCCAAAGUGUACUCUACUGUCCUGCUUCAGUAAGCCGCCGUCGGUUUCUGGGCUCUGCCGCAUACACCAUGGGUUCUGUACAGCGAAAGAGAGCUUCUGCUUAUUGGAGAGUAGGGCGGUCGAGAAGUUGAUUGCUUGUUUAGACCACACCAAUGAGAAGGUCGUCGAGGCCGCAUUGGCUGCGCUUUGCACUCUGCUGGACGAUACCGUCGACACCGUAGAAGGGGUGUAUGUGUUGUGUGAGGCCGAGGGGAUUAAACCGAUUUUCGAUGCUCUGAUACAGAAUCGGACCGAGAUUAUUCAGAAAAGAGCAGUUUGGGCCGUCGAGAGGUUUUUGCGAAUCGACGACAUCGCGAGAGAAGUUUCGGGGAAUCAGAGUGUGGGCUCGGCUCUUGUGGAAGCUUACAGGAAUGGUGACUACCGGACGCGGCAGAUCGCGGAGAGAGCAUUGAAGCAUAUAGAAAGGUUGCCAGAUUUCUCUGCCAUAGCUGCUCAGAGUUAAGAGUUGUUGUUAUGUUCAAGAGGCAAGGUUUGCUUGGUAAGCAUAUAUCUACUUUUGCAAAUUUUCUCUACUCUUCCAUUGUUUAUUCUUUUUCAUGGUUUUUCUCUUGGAGAUUAUUCAUGUUAUCACUACUUUAUAUAUAUAUAUAUAUAGAGAGAGAGAGAGAGAGAGAGAGAGAGAAUAGGCUACUAUACUCAUAUAAGAGUAUAGAACUUUUGGUACUCAUAAGUUGUUUUUUAAUGGAGCUUCCGUAUCGAUGAUCCACUACGUUAAAUAUCAUCUAUAGUAUUUAAAACUUUUAAAAAAUAAAUUUUGUAAUUUUUUGAAAUCAUAAAAAAAUCAUCAACCGGCCAUUAAAAAUUAUUAAUUUUUAGAUCUUUCGAUCGUAAUGUAAAUUAUUUUAAAAAGUUAUAAAAUUUGAUUUUUAGAAGUUUUAAAUACUAAUAUAAUGUUUAACGGUAUGAAUCGUUGAUUCGAAAGUUCCAUCCUCAAAAACGAUUUAUGAGUACGAAUGUGAUUGCACUCAUAAGAGUAUAUAUAUAAUGUUCAAUUAUGGUAUUUGUAAAUUUUUUUAUCGUUAGAUAUAUUUUUUUGAUCAUUUUCAUCCGUUAGAUCAUACUAUUCAACUACCCACUCAACCCUAGAGAUUUCACAUCAUCUUAAUUGCGCAUCCCUUAAUUCAAUAACAAAAAACCUACGAGCACCAAUAACUUAUACUUUAAAAAAAUUAAAGUUCAAUUAUAUAUAUAAUAAAAAAAAAAAAAAAAUUUAUAGAUAUAAUAUAAAUUAUAUAUAUAUAAUUGAGCUUCUAUGCUUUUAUAAAAUACCAAAUUAUUGUGGCUUGUAUAGUUUUUAGCCGCCUUGAUUAAAGGGAGUGCCGUUUACGACGAUGUGAGCCUCCUAUGGGUUGAGUGGGUGGUUGUUGAGAUAGUAUAAAUCUAACGGUACAAAUGAUCCAAAGGCUUAAAUCUAACGUGGAUAAACUAAAUAGUACCACAAUAUUUGGCUAUCGAUAGUACCCACAGCAGGAUAUAAUAUAUAUAUAAUAUAUGAUAUAUUAUAUAGUAGGAGUGGAACUAUUAUUAAAUAUAAAACAGCUUCUUUUUUGCUUCAAGUUUUUAAACCUUGAUGAAAAUGUAGGUCAGGAAUGAUAAUUAGUCGAUAGAAGUGAAGUGUCUCCCUUAGGGUUGAGUGGUUCCCACGGUUAUAUAUUUAAUCCAAUGGUUAGAGAAUAAUGAAAGAGUUGAUCCAAGCCUAAAAAUAGUAGCCACAAUGAAUUGUCUGUACUAUAGUAGCCCAGUCCACUCUCUCUCUCUCUAUAUAUAUAUAGUCUCUCUCUCGUCUUCUCUCUCUACUAUAGAUAUAUAGAGAGAAGUAGGAGAAGCGCCUAAAACUAGUCAUAUUUAGAGGCACGGAGGCCUCCGUGCUACCAAGUUAUUUUAUGAUGCGGCUUUCAAAAUCAAGAUCGGCCCCGUUGAUUUGAUUCGUACACUAUUAAAAUAUUUAAACUAAUUUUCAUAAUUAUUCGACUUUUUUGCUAGUUCAAAGUCCUCAAAAUUAACAAUUUAAUGUAAUGAUAUGUGUUGUGUGAAUUUAACGGUGUAAAUAUACACAAUUUGAAUUGAAUUUAAUAGAAUUUUGUUCAACUAUAUAGAAUAAGAUUAAGAACCUCUAUAUCUUAAAUUCAAUCUUUUACAUCAUUUUUUUAUAUAGAUUUUUAUUUUAAGCCGUCAUUUUUAGAACCUACUCUUAUAGUAAAUAAUGUCGAAAAUUAUAAAAUUAAUUUUCAAAUAUUUUUAAUAGUGUAGAUCAAGUCUAACGAGAGCGAAUCGUCGAUUGGAUAGCCGCAGUUAUCGAAACGAACUUAGUAGCCCGGAGGCUACCGAUAGUAUACCGCCUAACUUAUAAUACAUAUAUAUAAUAUAUUUAUAUAUAGUAUAUGUGUAAAACUAUAAGCACUUUAAAAUUGGCUUACCAAAUAUUUUAAAAUUAAUUUUACUACUAAAACAUUCAUUGUUUUAUAAUCAAUAAGAGACUUCUAUCUAUGAAAUUUAAACUAAAUUUUUAUGUUUAAUAAACUUAUAGUUUAAUAAUUAUAAAAAAAAAUAUAAUAAUAAACAAAGAAAUAUAACACAUUCAAUUUUAUGAAAUUAAGAGAUAUAUAACUAUUUCAAUAUUUUACUAAAAAAGAAAUAUAUAACACAUUCAAAUUUACUAAAGACUAAAAAAAAUAAUACACUUUCAAAUUUUAUAUCAAAAAUAUCAUUAACCAACUCGCAUUAAAUAAAACUAAAAGUGAAGAGUUAAAACAAAAAAUUAAAACAUAUGUUAAUGUAUCAUUUGAAAUAGGAAAUAAAAUCAAAAUUCUGAAUAUCCAACGCAGAUUGAUGUAGCCUAAUCAGUUACGAAUUGGAAAUAAAAUUCUGGUAAGGUCCAUAUGAAUCAAUAUGUAUAACAACAAAGUGAAAUAGUAAAAAAAAAAAAAAAAAAAUUGGAACCCACACCAGCAAAUAUAAUCUAUUACUUCAAUCAAAAGUGAUUGAAUGUAUAAGCGGAAUGAAUGUAAAGUAUCCUACAAUUAGAACAUUGAUCAUACUAAUUUAAUUUAUCCUCUUUUUUUUUUUUUUUGGAAUACAACGGCUAAAUCAGUUGAACUAUAAUCUCUGAUGCAUCUUUAACAUGCAAAAAGAUUUACUUACAUUACCAACCACAGCUUCAGAAAUUUACAUUCCUCUUCAAUAUCUAAUAAACCAAUAUAAGACCAAAUCAUCACCAAAGCAACUUCAUAUUAUCAUCACAAAUCAUCAAACUACUAUAAACUCUUCACCCACUCUUGAUUCUUAAACCAAUAACAAGAUUAGAAAUUUCAGAGUAGCUGAUGCAGCAGAAACACUAUAAAAGAUCCAACCCCUUUUUCAUUCCAAGAUCAAAUUUUACAUCCCAAACCAACAAAACCAACAACCUGGCCCUGAAGAUAGAAACCCUAACCCUAACCCUAGCCCUAGCCCUAGAGAGGGGCACCUGUCUCGUUCUCACCCGCCGAAGCCGUAGAGGGUGCGGCCCUGGCGCUUGAGGGCGUAGACGACGUCCAUGGCGGUGACGGUCUUGCGGCGGGCGUGCUCGGUGUAGGUGACGGCGUCGCGGAUGACGUUCUCGAGGAAGAUCUUGAGCACGCCGCGGGUCUCCUCGUAGAUGAGGCCGCUGAUGCGCUUCACGCCGCCGCGCCGCGCCAGGCGCCGGAUCGCGGGCUUCGUGAUCCCCUGGAUGUUGUCGCGGAGAACCUUGCGGUGGCGCUUCGCCCCGCCCUUCCCCAAUCCCUUCCCCCCCUUCCCCCUCCCCGACAUCGCCGCCGCCGCUGUGCCGCGGAAACCUUAGAAAGACGAAACCCUAGAACGGGGAAACCCUAACGCGGAGUGGAUUUGGGGAAUUCGAUUUGGCGAAGGGGAACGAGUCGAAGUUCUUUGGAGUUUAGGGGGGAAGGUGGGGUUUUUAUAGAGAGAGGAAGCGGGGGAGGGUCGAUCCGUGGACGAUUGCUGUUCAAUGGUUCGUUUGGAGAUGGACGAUGGGGAUUCGGGGUUUGGAUUCCGCGAGGAUCGGUGACGUGGGCGUGGUGUUUUCUUUUGGGAGGGGGUUGUGUGUUUCUCGCGGGGUAGGGUACUUGUGUUUUUUUUGGGUUUUGGGGGAUGAGGUGGUAUGGGUCGUUGGAUUCGUAAGCGGUGGACACGUGGCAAUAUCGCAGUGGUGACGUGUCAUUAUUGGUGUGUCAAAAGUAACAGGAAAAACUUCAUAUACCACCCCGUGGCUUCACACUGAGUCCUCGUGUGGUUUAAAGUGUAUUAAUUUAGUAUCCUAUAUUUUAUUUUUAUUUUUUUAUUAUUAAUUUGACUAAUUUUUUAAUUAAAUCAGUGACAACGUUAAAACUAAAGGGUACUAAAGUAAAUAUUCGACAAAUCAAUGUAGGGUAUCUAAAAUUUUCUAAAAUUUUUUAUAUAUAAUUUAAUAAAAUAUUAACGAAAAAACUGACGAAAAGAUAAAAAUAAAACCAUAAGACACUAAUUUGAUACACUUUAAACCACAGAAUAUUAAAGUGAGAAAAUGCAAAACUAUAUAGAUGGUAUUUAAAAUUUACCCAAAGUAAUAUAAAGAAAGAUUACCAUAUAUAUGUUAAGAAAAGUUACUGAGUUUUUUUCCUCAAUAUCUAAAAAAUUAUUCACCAUCCCAAAUGACAAAAAAAACUUGAUAAUUGAUCAUCUCGAAUCAUAAUAAAUUUCUAAUUCGAAUCGUAAUUAAAACUUGAAAGAGCUUAGUAUGAUCAUACUAAAAAGACUAGUAAAAUUGCCCAGCAGUAAACAUUAACAAUAUGAUGAUUGUUUACAGGUUCCAUAAACAGUUACAUUACAAUGUGUAGUAAUAAUAUAUAAUAUAAUAAUAAUACACAAAAUGGCGUAAAUUCCUGGGAAGUGUAACAAGAAUUACUGGAACAACCAUUCUACAAUUAGAACAAAGCAUAUAAAGAUGGCAUGCCUAUGAAAGAUCCCUAAAUACAAUUUGAUAGUAAAGGAGCCAUUCGCCGCUAACUCGUGCCGCCAAAGUGCGAACGGAACAAGAUGAACGAACACCUACAGCAACCUCCUCCUACAACGCCGCCGCUACACUUUGCUUCUCAGUUGUACUACAUCUUUUGUACGGCACGAAGCCUCUUGUUGCUGUAAUGUUCUUGUCGGCCUCCACACGUACAAAGGCUGAGUUCUUGCUUGGCUUGAACAUCGGCGCUGGCUCGGGUUCGCCCGAACGCACCGAGUCCGAGCUCGAAGCACUCAGACAAGCUCCUGCUUUCUCGCCAGUCUCGCGAGAUCGCGGACUUACGAUUUGCGGAGUAAUGGCCCACCACCAAGGUAAAGCAGCAACCGAAGCCUCCGCAAAGUUCCCACAUUGAAACUGCGACGAAACUUCGUUUGUUGCAGCUGCUGCUGAAAGCAAUUGCAAUUGCAUAUUGCUGCCAUGCUGCUCUACCGGAGCAGCCGAUGCCUGGCAACUUUGUUUGUCGUACUUCGCAGUCGAAGAGCACAACAUUUUAAGAUCCGUUAUCACAACAGUUCUACCGAAUAGCUUCAAAGUGGUGGCUUGAGCUUCUAUCAUUGGCGAAGCGUCUUUCGAAAGAACUUGAUCUUUAGAGUCCUCGUCAAUCUCCUGGAUAACAGGCGACGCGAUAUCUUUAGACAAACGGGCGUUCUUUUAACAGCAGUAGGAAGGAAAGAUAGGCCGGUAAAAGAAAAUACCAUGUGAGCUUCAUCUUUGGAGGCAGGUGGCGAAGUUGAAUUUUGUUCUUCGGUCGACGUUGUAGACGACUGACACCCGUUGUCCUGUUCGAUCAGAGAUGUGCCCGUUGGAUCUCCACCGUCAGAGGACACCGGGCUAGGCCGAUUUGAAAUCGAUGACCCAGAAGUAUCGGAUCCCAGUCUCGAUAAAACUGAUACGGGCGAUCCAUUCUCUUGUUCGGACACCGAGGAAGACCCCACAGACGACAGUUGUAGUUUGGAAACCCCAUUCUUCCGCGGGUAAGGCCGAAGCGGUUUUUUUUUGGGCCGGGGAGGAGGGAUUUCGAUGGCUUUCUCCGAGCCCGAUUCCCGUUCUAGCUGCACGCCAGAAAAGCAAAAUUUAAAUUCUCCGUCUUAAAAGGUAUAAAAAGAUGCUACCGACGCAACAGUAAUUCGUAUUCAUCUUCACGAACAAUCGACUUACUUUAUAGAUCAAAGUAAAUCGCCAAUGAACAUAAGAAUGGUAGAGAAAUAGUUUACUGGAGGGGGAUGGUAGACCUUUGAAAAGAAUUUCUGAGCAUGGCUUCGAAUUUGAACAGCUGUUUUGGUGCCUAUGUGCUCUACAUGUAAACACCCAAAAUUUCAGUAGAAGAAGAGUUUGUUAAAUGUGUGAUAUUUUCUAGAAUAAAUUGGUGCCCAAAUACCUUGUAUCUGGCGCCAAGCACGGCCGAAUAACUUGAGAGCCUCCAAGAACUUCUCGUGCUCUUCCUCGGUCCACUUCUCCCGCUGUUUUGUUAUUGUGUAAGGUUUCCUAACCUAUUUAGGCAAGAAGGAUUGUUUAGUGAAAAGGAGUUUGAUAAAAUUAAAAUGAUGAUUAACCAAACCAAUGAAAACGGAGAAUCGGUUUCUGACAUGGCGGAAAAAACACUACCUUGAUGGCGUAAUCAUCUGUUUCCUUCGGUUGCGCUCCACUUCCUACAGCAGAAGAUCCAACAUCCACACGCAUCCUCCUUUCGGGUAUGCUGAUUGGAUUCAGAUAAGGCUUCCGGCUGUUUUCCUGACAUAAAAGAAAAAGGCCGUGUGGCCCUGUUAUUGCGUGUUUUUUGCAACAAAGCAAAUGUUAAACAAAACGAAACAAAUAAGAACUUGGCAUUGCCACAAAGUAAGCUGAGUUAUCCGGUGCGACUCAAUUAACAUACAGGUGUAUGAUCACAAGAGAAGCCUUAUACAGUAGGUCAAAAACCUGUGUGAUUAUACAUGCCAUUGAAUAUGUCUAAAGCUCUCCGAUUAUCAAGUCACUUAUCACAUCGAUAUUAAUCAUCCGAAUCUGUUAUUACUGGGUGUUUGUAAAUGCCUAAAUAAAGAUUGCUAAAGCCGAUUCUUUUGCUCAGAGGAAUCUAUCAAGUUUCUUAGCAUGAAUUUAUAUACACUGCAGAGUGGCUUCCUAAACUGUAAUUCCUGGAACCUAUGCCUUCAAAAUAAGGUGGCAAAAUAAAAUAGGAUAAUACUUGCUCAUUGGUAAAAUAUUCUCCUCUUGAUUUUGACUAAGAGGUUUUAAAGACUUGCAGUACAAAAGUGUUCCCCAGCUGACAGCUCAACAAGUUGAUUUUGAAACUCAUGAAUCAUAUAACUUCAACACCACAGUUGCUACACAAGCAUCUCAUAAAUUUAAGAAUUUGCAAACAACAAGGAAAAAAAAACAAAAAAAAAAAAACCUCUCUAUAGUCCUCAUAUUUUCCAUCUUUGUCGAGUUAUGUGUGACGCUUCAGAAUUUGGAAUAGUUCAUAUAAAAAAUAUAAUAGUUUUAAACCUUUUAAACCGGCUAUAAUAUUUUAGGCGUUUGUUAAGUCCAAGAAAUAAAGUCUGCUAGGGCUAUAGUAAUUAUAGAAUGAGUGACCCUCUGAAAAAUGAGUACCGCUAAAGUGAGUGACAUAUUUCGCUUCUCAAACUAUAUGAAAUUUCGUCAAAACUACAUGUACUAUGGUGCAUAUGGAAAUUGAUACAUCAACUUCAAAAAUUUUGAUUUUAAUACAUAACCUAAUGAAUAAGAUACAUCUCUUUCAAAACUUAUAUUUUCAAUUUCUUUUUGAACAGAAGCAAAAACAAUGAAAAAAGUUAUGUGGUAAAAGCGAAGUAUUCAAAGAUUAAGUACCCACUCCAAAAUGGGCAAGUUUUAGGUAUUUUAUGCCAAUUUUUGGCAAAAACUUCCCCUCAAUUUCGAAGCAAAUCAAACUCCUCAUGAUAAGGGGUAUAAGGGGUAUUUGGUUUCUCGGAAAAUCGCGAAAAACUAUUUUUCGAGAAAAAAAAUCAUGAAUAAGACCCUUUUUCUAUAGACUUUGUUUUUGGGUUUAAAAAGAAAAUCUAGAAAACAAAAAAAAAGAGAAUUUUCUAUGAAAUUUGUAAACAAUUUUUCUAAAAAAAUUUAACUUUCCUGAAAAUCAAAUAGAUAAAAAAAUAUAAUUUUUUUUUGCCAGAAAAUUAUUUUCUGAAAUAUUAUUCAGAAACCAAACACCCCCGAACCAAAAGAGGAAACUACCAAAAAAAAGAAAAAAAGAAAAAAAAAAAGAGCACUGUUCUAUGAAUAAUAUUAUAUAUCAAAUCAACAAGGAAAUAGGAAAUAAAAGCUUACACAUAAUCACUAAUACAAGGGGAAAAAAAAAACAAAUAAAGAGAAAAUAGAGAAUCUCACCAGCAAAGCUGUUGCUACCAUGGCGCUUUAGAUCCUUCUUCGCAAUUGAAAAGCUCUUCAAACCAAAUCCAAAAAAGAUGCUACUUUUACUUUUCCUCUUCUCUUCUUUUACAUCAAAUCCCCUCUACGACGCUAUUUAAGCCCUAGUCCUCUGAUUCAUCUCUCUCGCUAAACCCCAAAUCACCAAUGAUCGAGGAGAAACCCCAAGGAAAAAAAAAAACUUAACGAAACCCCAAAAAUCACAUCAAUUUCUCUCCCCUCUAAACCCCCUUCCGAAGAAGCACAAAAAAAAUAAAAAAGAGCUUUUAGAUCUAAAAGGAGAGAUUUGAAGCACAAAUCACGAACCCAAAACGAUCAAAUCGAAAUCCCCCAACGAGAGCGAGAGAAAAAACCGACCAAAUCCGCGACUGAUCGCCAAGCUAACCUUCUCCUCUGAAGGCUCCUCCCACGGUUCAAAACACUUACGAUUCGAAUCGCGGAGAGAGAGAGAGAAGAGAGAGAGAGGGAGGGAGAAGAUCUACGGGAGAUUCGAGGAGGAGAGGGAGAGACGUGAGCGGCGUAUAGAGAGAGAGAGAGAGAGUAGAGAGAGAGAGAGAGAGGGAGAGAUUGAAAGGAGAGAGAGAGAGAGAGAGAGAUUGAAAGGAGAGAGAGAGAGAGAGAGAGUAAAAGGGCGACGAGGGAGGAGAGAAGUUGAGAAGGUGCACGUCAGAUGGGCGAAGGAAUUUAUAGCUGGACAAAUUCCGGAAACUGACUUGAACUUGUGCUGAGGAGCACGAAGCCGCUGACACGCGUCCAAACCCCCCUCUUCUCUCUCUCUCUUCUAGGCCCUUUUUUUUCUUUUUUUCUAUAUAAUAAAUACAUUUUUGGCUGCUUUGCUUAUUUUUGCAUUAUAUAAUAUAUAUAUUAUAAUAUAUAUAUAUUGGAGGAGUUAUUAUACUAUCGAAAUAUAGAAAAUUUAACUAUUUUAAUUUUAUACACUUGAAUAAAAAAUUUAUGAUUUAUGAUGCGGUCCCUCUAAAAUUGAGUAAUAUUUCUAGAGUUGAACGGUCCACAGAGUAAAGUAUUAAUCUAAAAGUAAAAAUAAUUAAAGAGGCUGAUGUAAGGGCAAAAAGUCGAAAAGUACAUAGAUCUUUUAUAUUUCCAAUGAUAUAGUAACGCUAUCUAUAUAUAUUAUUAUCUAUUAUUAUUAUUAUAAUUAUUCUAAGAUAUAUUUUCCUAACAAAAAAUAAUUUUGAUUUAUUACUAGUUUUUUUUUUAAAUAAAAAAUUUAGUUAUUGUUGUAUUUUUGAUUCGUGAUAUUGAAUAGGUAGGUGCUGUCGCAAUUACGAGGCUAAUAUUUUUCUUUUUUACUCUAAAAUUGAAGUGCUAAAUUUAUAGAUUAUUUACUAUAAUAUGUACAGCAAAUAGCCAAAAAAAAAAAAAAAAAGUAAAGCUGAGAGAAAAUGAAUGAUAAAAUUAUAUUAUUAUUUAUAUUUAAAAUACUAGAAGCACUUUUAAUAUAUAUAUAUAUAUAAUAUAUAUAUAUAUUUAUAUUAUAUAGAUGUAUAUAUAUAUAUAAUAUAGGUUGUUUAAGAAAAAUUCAGUAAUAUCCAGAACGCCUAAAAGAGGGGCGGUUGUGUAACUGUCAGGAUUGGGAUAAUACUAACCCAAAACAAACAACAAAUUUCAUUAAAUUACAAAAAAAAAAAAGAAAAGAAAAGAAAAGAAAAAUUGGUGGUGAACCAGAAACUGUGCAAGCACCUGAUCAUGUCACUUGUUCCCUUUCUCAUCUGAUAUUAUCUUUCAUAUAUACUAAAUCAUUUUUGGGGCUUUUUAUUUUGCAUUAUUAAUAUAUAUAUUAUAAUAUAUAUAUAUUGGAGGAGUUAUUAUACUAUCGAAACUAUAGAAAUUUAAUUUUAAUUUUUAUACACUUGAAUAAAAAAAUUUAUGAUUUAGUGAUGCAGUCCCUCUAAAAUUGAGUAAUAUUUCUAGAGUUGAACGGUCCCACAGAGUAAAGUAUUAAUCUAAAAGUUAAAAAUAAUUAAGAGGCUGAUGUAAGGGCAAAAAGUCGAAAGUACAUAGAUCUUUAUAUUUCCAAUGAUAUAGUAACGCUAUUCUAUAUAUAUUAUUAUUAUUAUUAUUAUUAUAUAUAUAUUCUAAGGAUAUAUUUUUCUAACAAAAAAUAAUUUUGAUUUAUUACUAGUUUUUUUUAAAUAAAAAAUUUAGUUAUUGUUGUAUUUUGCAUUCGUGAUAUUGAAUAGGUAGGUGCUGUCGCAAUUACGAGGCUAAUAUUUUUCUUUUUUACUCAAAAAUUGAAGUGCUAAAUUUAUAGAUUAUUUACUAUAAUAUGUCAGCAAAUAGCCAAAAAAAAAAAAAAAAGUAAAGCUGAGAGAAAUGAAAUGAUAAAAUUAUUUAUUAUUUAUAUUUAAAAUACUAGAAAGCACUUUUAUAUAUAUAUAUAUAUAUAAUAUUAUAUAUAUUAUAUUAUAUAGAUGUAUAUAUAUAUAUAAUAUAGGUUGUUUAAGAAAAUUCAGUAAUAUCCAGAACGCCUAAAAAGAGGGGCGGUUGUGUAACUGCUCAGGAUUGGGAUAAAUACUAACCCAAACAAACAACAAAUUUCAUUAAAUUACAAAAAAAAAAAAGAAAGAAAAGAAAAGAAAGAAUUGGUGGUGAACAAAAACUUGUGGCAAAGCACCUGAUCAUGUCACUUGUUCCCUUUCUCAUCUGAUAUUAUCUUUAUAUAUACAAUAAAUAAUAAUAAUAAUAAUAUUAUUAUUAUUAUUAUUUUAUAUUAUUAUUAUUAUUGUAUUUUGAGUACAAUAGAGGUGGAUAGCAUGGUAUCAGAUUUAAUGCUAAGUAUUUAUUUAACAUUUAUCAUCUCAAUAAGAUUGUCAAUAUUGAUUUAAUACAUUCAAAAAUAUAUUUUUAAACGCAAUUGUCACUUACAUCUAUUAUUUAUAAGCAAAAAUAUUAGUGUAUCUUCUUCUAUUACAUUGAUUUGUGAAUAAUAAAUAUUAUGAUAAAGUUAAGUGUGUUCUAAAGUUCCACUUAUGCUGAUAUAUUAAUGUACAGGCACCUAUAAUAUAAAGACUUUUUUCCUAACUCUUACAAUAUACUGCACAUGGAUUCGUUAAUAUACGGCAUUCAAAAAAAAAUUUCUAUUAAAUAAGUUCUCCAUGGAUGAAUAAUAUACAUAUAUAUAUUAUAUAUAUAUAGAAAAUAUAUUUAUUUAAGAUUUAAGAUGUCGAUAUGAAUGUAUCUGGCUUUUUAUUUUGUGAUGUAUCAGUAAUAUUUAUCGACAUUUUCCUUCAUCUAAAGGGCAUUUCGAAAAAUAAAAGAAAAUAAAAUCUGAAAAAAAUAUCUUGAGCCUCUAAAAAAAGAUAUUAUAUAUAUAUAUAUAUAUAUAUUUAUAUAUAUAUAUAUAUAUUAAAAAAAAGAGCCUCCACACAAAAGAAGCAACGCUGGCCACGAGAUGUGGAUUGGGGAGGGGAAAGUGCGGGGCGCGUCAUUACGCUUUAUGCCACGUCAUCACAGUGGGGGGACACGUGUCGCCGCUCUACUGAGGCGUGGGAAAAGGGCCCCACAGGAAAAGCGAAAAGCGCAAAAAAAAAGGGCAAAAAAGGUCAGCCCACUUGGGCCUUUUCUGAGCCGCUUAUUUUUUUAAAUAAAUAAAUAAAUAUCGGAAAAAGGAGAGCCACAUGAUGGGCUUUACAUUUAUUUGCAAAUUAAUUAAUGCGUGGGGUGGGACCCGCUUCUCCAGAUGGUUCGAUGUGAUGGGCGUUGGUGGCGCGACACGUGCGCGACGGGAGAGGCGGUGGAUGUGGAUCGGACGGUGGAGGGUGAUCGUAGUGGUGGUCGGUCGGGGUGAUUAAGAUGCGGGGCUCCUCGGUCGCGUCCUACCUGGUUUGGCUAAGAUCACAAGAUGUGUAUUCUAACUUUUUUUUUUAAUGUUUAUUUUUUUUUUAAAAGGAAAAAUGUACGGAAUAUAUCUAAACGACGAAUUAUUUUAAAUGGUCUAUAUAUAUAUCUAAUUUUCAAAAAAAAAAUUGAAUAUUAUUACUCAAUCUCUUAAUUUAUUUAAUUUGUCUGUACCGAUUUCAUUAUUGAUAUUUUAUAUAAUUUUUAUAACUAUAAAUUAAUAAAAAUAAGUAAUUAGCUAAACUUAUAAAGCGAACUAAAAUUAAACAAAUAAAUUGAAAGAUUGAAUAGGAAAAACAAAUUUUGGGUGCUUGGGUAACAAGUUUUAUAUAUUUUUACUUUUUUCUAAAAAAAAUCGAGGACAAAUUUGAUAAUAAAGAGUUUUAGGCUACGUUACGGCUGGUGUUUUAGAUUAACACCAACUAUUUUAUGAAUUAUAAGUUACAAAAGGGGGGUUAAGUGCAAAUAUUGAGGGGUUUGUUUGUCAUAUGUUGGAAAUGGGAGGUGUAAAGUGCAAAACCUAAUAUGUGCAAGGGAAUUUUGAUGCAAUUUUCGCCGAAGUUUUAGGAGCUCAAUUUGCACAUUUUAUAGUAAUUUACCAAAAACUUGAACCUCAUUUCCUCAAUUUCAAAUUUAAUAUAUUACGCUCUUUAAGAAUUUUAAUUGUGGUUAAUCGCGUUUAGAUGGCUCUUCAAUUACAAAAUUCAAUUACAAAAUUCAGAUACGAUGUUUGCUUAUUGAAAACACACUCGCACAAAUCAUAUGAUAAGUACAAAUCAAGCCACGCACAAACACGAAAAUAGAAGAGGCAUCAAAUAGUUCAAAUCAAAUAAAUUCAAAAUUUCUGAAAAGGUCGGAUAACCGGAUCAAAAUGGGUCAUAGCACAGGUUAUCAUAAGCUCAAAAAACGAAUUUGUUCACAAACAAGAUGCAUACGCUCAGGAGGAACAUGAAAUGAAUAAAAAUUGAUGCUUCUUCUCUCCACAGCAACAAAUAUAUGCAGGGCUUUUUUUGCAUUUAGCCCCCUGAAGAAUUUUUAUUUUAAAAGUAGCCCUAUCAAAAUUUAAUUUGCAAAAAUAGCCCUACUCCUGCCAUGCAAGCGCCACGUCAGCGCCACGCGGGCGGGGCUGGGGGCGGUAGUUAAGUUAAACACGGUGAAUCAUUCACCAUGUUUAGACACGGUGAAUGAUUCACCGUGUUUAAUACGUAUUUUUUGUAGAGGAAUAGGGAGUUAGGGAUGUUAAUGGGGUAUGGAUAUUCAAAAUAUUAUUCGAACCUAAACCCGAAUAAAUUAUUUUAUAUACAUAAUUUAUUUUUACAUAUUUAUACAAUAUAUAAAAUAUCCAAUAAUUUUUAUUUCUUAGAUCUUCAUCCAAUCCAACGGUAUAAAAUAUCUAAUAAUUUUAAAAAUCUAUACCAUUGGAUUGGAUGAAGAUCUAAGAAAUAAAAAUUAUUAGAUAUUUUAUAUAUUGUAUAAAUAAAUAAAAAUAAAUUAUGUAUAUAUAUAAUUUAUUCGGGUUUAGGUUCGAAUAAUAUUUUGGAUAUCCAUACCCCAUUAACAUCUCUAACUCCCUAUUCUUCUAGGAAAAAAUACGUACUAAACACGGUGAACCAUUCACCGUGUUUGAACACGGUGAAUGGUUCACCGUGUUUAACUUAAUACACUGGCCCAUGCCCAGCCCGCGUGGCGCUGACGUGGCGCCUGCGUGGCAGGUGCAGGGCCAUUUUUGCAAAUUAAAUUUUGAUAGGGCUAUUUUUAAAAUAAAAAUUUACUAGGGGGCUAAAUGCAAAAAAACCCCAUAUAUGCAACAUGCAACUAAAUGGCGAUAAAACUGAAAAGAUUUAAAUGAAAAUUGGCGUAUGUUUCUUCGAUUCGAGCCAUAUAGGGCAUUACCACCAUCAAUUAUAUUCACAAAAUUAUGAAAUAAGGGGAAAUUGAAACCCCCCAACUUUAACUACUAAGGCUAAUUAUACACUCUUAAUAACAAUGGCUCUAGCAGUAUAACAGUAAGAAAAAAUACUGAAAUAGGUUAUAACCCACUUACUCGCAUUCUUCUAUGUAUCCUUCGAAAGGAGAUCUGAAAAUUGGUACUAGGAAAACUCGGUUUGAACCGUCAAGUCCUGUAUGCCCAAAUCGUGACACAAGCCAUGCACAUAAUGAAGGACCGAGUAGUCGUCCGCUCCUUUUUUAACCUGUGCGAUGCAUGCAGGAAAAAAUACAGUGAACGACCGCAUUAGAUUUCCGGGGAUUGAUGUUGCAUGUGUCGCAUUGCACUUCGAUUAGAGAACCUGUUUCUUUAUACUUCGAGGAUUAAGUAGAUCUCAAAGUCUAAAUAUUCAGCCCGGACGUCGAGGCUUUGUGGAAUAGAUAGAUUUCAUUCUCUAUAGUUUUACCUGAAUGGAGAGUGAGCCAAUGGCGUAUCCAGGUACUAGUUCCCAAAACCGAGCUUGAGAAACUUCGGAUACAUCCUCAAGAGCGGAUAUCUAGAGAAUGGCAGUCAUAUGAAACAUGAGAAGCAGAAUGCGAAUGAACAAGAAAAGCGAACAACAGGGGUAAAUUAAAAAAAGAAAGAGAAAAAGGAAAAGUUCUUCUACCUGUCGGCAACAUUUGUUUAAGGCGGAAGGGGGUACGCUUGCAGGUGCCAUUUGCAGUAAGAUACUGCCACUUGCCUUGAACAGCGGCAAUACAACCAUGAAAACUGUGACUGAAACAAGCCCCAAGCACAAGACUUCCGCAUUCUCAACCCUAUCAUGUCACAAUAGACAUUAUAGUAAGUUAUUUGAGAAGGGGAAUAACUUGAAGGGAAAAAAAAAAUGAAGCCAAUAGAUAUUAAUUUACCCUAAUGUUAGAAACCACGAUGCCAGGAUCAAACCUGCACUGAGGAAAAUUGUCGAGGUUUGUUUAGAAUGAAUAACCGUCCAAUUAAACUUACACAAAUAGUCAACUGGUUUAUCACUUAGGGUAAACAAUUAUACCUACGAAUUGAAUCCGAAAGAACAUGUAAGCAAACAGAGUGGUAGUUCAUAUCCUCGGCUUUCCUGUAAACUAAUUAGUAAUGUAAAUCAGCAUGAUUCAUGCAUCUGUUCAUGGCAUCAAAAUUCAUCGGUUGUGAGAGAUAACUGGGCAUCAGGAAUAGCUCGCAUUAGUAGAUGCCAGUAAGAGAAAUAAUUAUGAGAGCAUACCGAUAUUAACACGAGCAUAGCUCCGAAAGAACCAAACGCCGAGUAGAUUCACCAAAAGGUUCGUCACGGCAGAGACAAUUAGGUAGUGCCUACGAUCGAAAGUCAUUUUAUAUGGGAUUAUGUAAAUAAAAGACACUAGAAUUUGCAUAUGAGGCUGCCAAGGUGAGGGAACAUACAAAAUAGCCAUAGAAGACAAUAUUUUUGAGCUACAAGAUAAGAAGUAAGCAUAAAAACAUGGUGAUAUGGAUAUGGAUAUGGAUAGCUGCAUUCCUAAAAAUACACUUUGGAAUUGCUACACACAUAGCCCAAUCCUGCAACUUUAUUAUGAAAUAACAGUGAACCUCUAAUAGCAAAUUGGUGAUCCGUAUUAAAUAUUGGAUCCACGUUUUUCCCCAUUUAAGAAUAUGGACAUUUCCAGCUAAGUUUAUUUCUAAAAUGAAAUAAACGAAGCAGGUAGCAUGCUACCUAUCUCUCAAAAAAAAACAAAGAAUAUGGACAUUUAAGAGGCCCUUUCUCUUAUAAUUAAGUCUCUUAUACUUCUAUAGAAAAAGACGAAAAAAACAGCUGGUGUAACAACUAGGUAAUGAAUUGACAAUCUUUCAACUUCAUGAACAGAUACACUAUCAUAAAUAUCAAGCCCUUAUGGUCAAGUGCCUGACAAAAAAUAACUAUGGAUAACCAGAGAUGGAAAAGCAUGGGCUCAACCUUGGUUGUGAGUGAAAAACAAAUGAUGAAACUCCAACUUCCAAUAUUAUAAAAUUAUAAAAUAUAAUGGAGCUAAUCGUUGCAAAGAUAAGAAGCAGGCAGCCUUUGAGCAACAGUCAUUGUACAUUUAUUUUGUGUAGUGUUCUCUCAGAUUAUAGUAGCGAAUCAGAUGCUACAAAGGUUUUAGCAUUUAUUAGAUAAACAAUGAUCACUGAUGUAUACUUAAUGAUCAUCACUUUAGAGACUGAUGAACAUGAAUAUAUUUUACUAAAACAUAAAAGAAAGCCAUCUCUUUACAGAAGGACUUACUUGUGCUCAGAUUCAUCUUGUAUAAAUGCAUGGAGCGCUUCAACAGCCAAUGAGAAUGACAUAAACAACAAAAACAGCUGUCUACAUGGGUAAUCAUAGAUGUUAGCCCUAAUAAAUCACAAGUAAAAUACAAAACAUGUAAUAUAUAAUGUUAUCAGCUCAUAGUCAUAGAAUAGUGCGGUCAGGAAUUAUGGAUUCUCUAAAUUGCCCUUCACCCGCAAAGUAUGCAACGUAGCCGCACAAACUUUUUGAGUUGUCACAUAUGGGUGCAUUACAUAUAUAAGUGCCUCAGAGUACAGUACAAUCUAAGUGCUCUUAAGAUUCUGCUAAACUCACAAAAAGGAAUGUAUAAAGAAUUGGUUGCCAUCACAUAUGGGGGGUUACACAUAAUGCUGCAUGUCACAUCCAGAUAUAAUGAAACAGCAAUUGAAUAAUUGCAGAUGCCUCUUACUUAUUUUCCUAAGCAAUUCUCAGUUCUGAACAACACACCAAAGGUCCAAAGACAAAUGUAUUUAUUUUUACCUUCGCUCAUUGAAUCUUUUUAUAUUUUUGUUGUGUGCUUUUAUUUAUGGAUGUACAGCUGUAUGGGAAUGUCUGACUGCUGCUAGUUAUAUUUGUCGUAAAAGGAAAGGUGCUCUCUUAACUAUCAAUCAAAAUGAAGUCUUGCUUUGCCGACAAUACAUAUGUAUGUUGGAGGGACGAGAUCUCUUUCACCCUAAAAUAAUAACUGGAGUUGCAUCACGUUUUACCAUUGAAACUACCCAAAAGCUGGUUACAGUAACUUCAGCAUUUAUUUGCAAGUUUUCAGCCAAUCUGAUUCAAUUGUCUAAUGACUCUAAUCAACCUCAGGAACACAAGAACAUUUUUAGUGCUUCAGUUUACAAACGCGAUUGCAUUAUGAAAAUUCUAGACCUUAUAUUGAUAAGAAUUACAUAAAUAUCAUUCAGAAUAAACUUUCUAAACAACAUACUAAAUGCUAUUAAUUGAACAAUCAUUGAAUAUAUAAGCUUGGGUUCUUACAGCAUUUGUGAAUGCGGACAAGACUUCUAAUCUCUUGUACCUAACAGAAACAGCAAAAGGUAAAUAUGGAUACUGAAAUAUGAAUCCAAAAGUAAUUUUCAAAACAAACUACACAAAAUAUCUUCAACCAAGCAGGAUGGAGCAAAACAUUAAUAACUCAACAAAUACCCCCCCUCCCCCCGAAAACUCAUAAUUCUCUAGAUAAAUGAACAUGCAAUACCGAAGUCCGAGGAUAACAACAAGUAAUAGGUUCACAUGGCAACCAAGUUUGAAGCANGCCCAAAAAAAAAAAACAAAUCAAGUAAUAACUCAACAAAUACCCAAAAAUGGAAAGAAAACUCAUAAUUCUCUAGAUAAAUGAACAUGCAAUACCGAAGUCCGAGGAUAACAACAAGUAAUAGGUUCACAUGGCAACCAAGUUUGAAGCAUUUAUCUUAGCAUCAGAGACACGUCUUUGCAAAUUGCAAAAGAAUCCAUAUGAUUCAGGUAUUCAUGCUCUUCUAACUUCAAACAGUACCAAAUAUACGUAUAUACUUGAAGCCUUUUAGCAUUAUUAUUGCCCAAUGAUUAAAAGCAUACACAUAAUUGUAGACAUCUAGCAAGUAUACUGACUUUGCAAAAGCUCCAGCAGGGAGAAACAGGUUCCAAGUUGCAUCAAAGAUCGCCUUCUUUUAUGUUCACAUGAAUCUCAAGUGAUAUAACUUUCCACUUUAUCUCGCGCGAAUUUGAUCUUUUUUUUCUUCAUCAGACUAAUAAAUCAUGACUAAACUUUUUUUUUCAUCAGACCAAUAUAUCAUGACUAAAAAGUAUGAAAUUCAAUAUUUUCAGUCAACUUGUUGCAGGCCGAAACCACUAUAGACAUCACAAAAGGGCAAUAUAUAUUUACUUGCACAUAAAUUUACUUGUUGGUGGACAGUAAACAAAUUAAAAGCAAAAUGAAGGAGGUUUAAUUGGAUGUACAUAAGUCAUAUUCUAUGAUAUGCAAGAAUAAGAAUCUUAAACGACAAUGCGAAUGCCACCUUGAUGAAUUUCUUCAAGAUACUGACAGUGGAUAAUUAAUUCAUCUACAUUUUACUUAGGAUCAGCAACAGGCAAAAUAAGUUUGUAUAGGAAUUAAAAACCAACCCAUAAGUGUACACUUUGUCAGGCUUCCUUCGAGAAGCAGCCAUAGCAAACAAGGAAAAUGUUAAGAGUCCACAACCAAAUGUCAAAUGGAAAGCAUCUGAAACUAAGCCUGCAAAGAGAUCAUUCAACAUGAUAAAGAACAGGAUAAUGUUAAACUGCAAUCAAACAACAACCAGAUAGCAUGGGUUUCAUGCGUUAACACAUCUAUAUACUCCCAUUCGGAAGUUAUUACACCACUCUUAAAGCUCUAACUCUAUGAAAUGCUUGCUAAGAUAUUAUAUAUGCUAUGAACUCCGAACAAAUGAGGAAAUGAUCUAAUGUUAUUUAGUGUUUUUACAUCAUACCAAGAACAAUGCUUGGCAUGAGAUCCUUCGUUUCCUCAAAUUUCAAAAGUAAAACAGUUUGAUUAGUAUAAUUUGAUACGAUAGACAAAAUUCUAAUAUUAUGCCCUCUUUCCACGUCUUACUUUUUUUCUGUGUUGAUGAUUGAUUGAGAAAGAUUAAUGUAGACAAAAUGAGCAAUCCCAAAACCCUCAAUUCCUCAUGCUAGUUUCUAAGCAGUCAUUUGAAGGCAUGAUUCAAACAAAUUUGCUAGGAACUUCAGAAAACCACUUGACAAUUCAGGAAUCCAACCGGAAAUUAUAUUCAUUUGAUUGUUAUCGCAGAUAUAAUCCUAGUUUUUACCUUAAUUUUGAAUCCAGUGAUCGCCAUGAUAUUCGUACGAACUAUAAGGAAGCAUAAAAGCUUAAAACGCUGACCUACACGGCCGGUGAAGAUGCCAAUCAACAGCUCCGCCGUCGAGUACGCCACGUUUAGCGAGAUCAUCAAAGCGAGCCGCUUCAUCGGCCGAUUCCCGAACCUCACAGCCUUGACCAACGACGACACCAUCCCGAUCGCCGUGAGCUUCUCGGUGACGCCCCGAUCGCCGAAACCCUGCCCGAGCCCGUCGAUCUCCACGGGGGGCAUGCUGAUGCUCGAAUCGCUCCGCCCGAGGAAGGGCCGCGAGGAUCGGGUCCUCUCCGCGGGGAUCGGGGAACGGAGAUCGGGUUGGCGAAGGGAGUGUUGGCGAGAGAACGCGAACCUCCGGUCAUCGCUUCCGAGGCCGUAGUCCCCGCCCCAUGGGGGGCGGGAGGGGCCGAGGGAGGAGCUCCGAGAGGGAGGGGGAGGCGGAGGGAGCUUGGGGGCGGCUUCGGGGAGGAGGGAUUGGCGAAGAGCGGCUUCGUCCUCCAUGGAGGGGAUCCGGUUAUGAACUAGGGUUUAGGUAAGCGGAGAAACCCUAAGCUCGUGAUCCGAUCGAAUGCGAGGAGGAAGAAGAGGAUAUAAGCAUCAGUGUAUGAGACAGAGAUUUUUUAUUUUUUUUUUUCUUUUUUUUAAAGGGGAGGGAGAAGAAGCGUAAAAUUUAGCAUGAACCGGGCUCACCACGUCAGUCGUAGACCGCACCUCCAAAACUUUUUGCUUGGACUACUCUAAACACGGACCAAAUUAUACGCUUUGUUUCGACCAAAGUGUACAUCCCCCUCCCCAUCAUUUUAAAAAAUAUAUAUAUUUUAAUAUUAAAAAAAAAAAAAAAAAGUUAGCAAAGCAAUAUGAACCUUUUGAACACUUUUGGAGUGUACGGAUGACAUUGCUCUUGGACUAAAUUAGACUUCGACGAACUAUCUAAUAGAAAAUAUAACAAUUAAUUUUACUUUUUUUCAUCCUCAAAUAUAUGAUAAUUAAGAAAGAUGUUAUAACUACUUUACGGAAAGUUUUUUCCAGAAUGUUGGUAAGUACAGUCUAAAAACUAGAAUUCAACUCUUUAAAAUUCUAUGAUCCAGGGUAAAGCCAAACAGGAUACACAUAGAAAAAUCCGAUAAUAAUUACAAACCACGAAACAAAAUUUUUAAAUAAGAUAAUAUAAAAUUAAACAAGAUGAGUGCAAAUUCUUUGAACGUUCAGAGUGCCUGAAAUUACAAGAAUAAAAGAAAAACACAAUCCUUGCAUUUUCACAAACAACGCCAUCGUCAUCCCCGUCGGAUUACAUAUACUUGUUACAGAAAAAAACCAAAAAGAAAAGAGUAUACAUAUCUCAAUGUAGAAUACCACGACCAGCCAAAAAAAAAAAGGACCUCGUCCACAACCCCAACACAAAUCCUUAUUUGAGGAACAAAAUUUACCCGCAAUGUACAAGUGAUCUUCAUGAAGAGACAAAUGCAGGAUUGUUUUGUGUUACAUGCCUUCAAAAACGAUUCAACCCAAAUUACGAUAAAUUACACAUUGCUUACUAAAAGAUUUAGCCCUAAUAAGCUACUAGAUUGCUCACUUCAUAUGAGGUAAAGACCCCCAAAACAAGGGAACUAAUUAACAAUCAUGCACAGAUAAUAGAGCAGAUAAUACAAUUAGGCAGCCUCUAGGAAAAAUAUAGAACUAGUAGUUCAUACAACAACAAUAGAAAUAUCGGAACUAGCAAUGAUUUAGCAUAUAUACAAAUAGGCCGCAUAACGGUUUAAUGUCCUGACACAGGCACAAAAUAAAAUCAGGGGGAAUGGGAAUGGGGAAAGACGCCGAUUUACUCCUUGUGGUUGCUGUUCGAGCGGUCUUUCUUCUGGCCCCCGAGAAUACGGGAAAUUUGCAGGCCUCUGCUGAAGGCUUGAUUGAAAAGCAUCCUUGUCUGGAACUCGGAAACAAACGGGAACCAGGCCAAGAAGGCGAUCGGAGUGAACAGGAGAAGGCCCAUUAUGAUUUCGUAGCCCCGAGCUAGUGCCUUCACGGAUUGCCAUAUCUUAGCCCUUACAACGAGAGGCUUACAAGCUUGUGCAAUCUGAGAUGAAGGCCAAGAAAGAAGGUAUGUGAUUAGAAAGGAACUAAUAAGUGCCUGCUUUGGCUUGGCCUCUGGGAUUUAUAUAUUCCGGAAAUUAAAGCUUCAAAAUCAGGAGCUUUCCGGGCCGCAAAAGCCGAAACUCCUAUUUGAAGCUUCUGCUUCAGCAGCAACCAACAGCUGUUAGUGAAAUGAAUAAGCUGUUGGAGACUUGGAGCCUCUCCGAAGAGCUCUACUACUCAAUCAACCAUUUUAUGUGAAAGGUUCGAAUUGCAAAACCAGAGACAAACAAGCAAAGCAAAUUACUGAAAAGAAAUAGCUGAAAUAAAAAGAGUACCUGAAGCAUCCCCCAUCCGGUUGGCAAGAAAGCAAGGCAGCAGACAAAUAUGUCUUGAACAGUCAUGUGAGCAAAUGCUAUGAGGACUACAAGUAUGGAAAUGAAAGUUACAAAGAGAAGGCCCUUUAUUAGCCGGAAAACAAGCUGAUAAUGGGCACUGAAUUUUAGCCGACCAACAGACACCACCUGCAGAAGGAAAAUAUAUAAACAAGUCAGUAAAGCAACAGCGGUACCAAUUAAGCACAUAAAUGCAAGCCAUCGCAGUUUAUGCUUGAACAUAAAGCAUAACCAAGUAAGAGUUAUAAACACUGUUCGUAGAAUCCCGAUGUCCCAUCUUUUUGUAGAUUGCCGAAGACGCCUGCUUUCUUAGUGACUACCAACUCUCGAUGACAAAACAUAAAUGCUGUGCAUAUACUAAUGUGAUUUGACUGUAACCAACCACACGGGUCGAGAGGAAGAUUCUCUCUACUGACUCGUAAGGAGAUUAAUGGGCCAAGAUUCUAAAAUAUUAUGCUUCUAGGAGGCAAUUAACAACCCUGAUUGCAUAAAACAAAUGCAAUUCAACUCUUAAGAACAAUCUAUGAGGAAAGGCCAUUUAGAAUAAAAUGGCCUAUGUUGGUGGUUGAAGGAACGCUACUUUACCUUCAUGACAAGCAAUAUCACCAAGAUCACAAGCCACGAUACACAAUAGACCUGAAAAUAUUACAAAUCACAAGGCAAGAAUGAGAUUUUCUUUGGAUAAUUGGUGAAAAAUGAUAAGCAGCAAAUGAGUAAUGCAUCAGUAUAUGUCAAGUUGAAGGGCAAAAGAUACCAGCACACUCUGGGUCUUGAACCUCUUAGUUAUAUUCAAAUGAUACACGAGCCCAUAUUGAUAUAUAAAGAAGCGUAAUGCAAGUAGUAUUUCAACAACAAUCCCACGCUUCCCAGAAUGCCUAAGAUGUUCGUGCUCCAUCUCCCACCACGAUUCCCAACUCUUCUCUGGAAGCACACCGAUGCCCCCACGGUUGCUGAUCCACUUAUGCCAAUCAGUCCAAUCAUCGACAAUCUUUUGCCAUUCAAAACCCGAAGGGUUAAAGAGAAAAGGAGCAAAAAGCCAGGUGCCGACCAUAAACCACAUAGACACAGUAAUAAAGAUGUAUGCAACAGCACCUCUAUAUGACUGACCAAAGAUUUCGUACACAAUAAGCAGAAUCAUCAGCUCAAUACCCUUAACAAAAUGACUGCGAGAAUACAAACGAUAAUUGUCGGCAAACUUGGCGUGGAACACCACAAAUCCACGACCUGUAGCUCUAUAUUCGGCACCUCCAUGGAGCAACGUCCUUCCAUAAUAAUGUGUCUUAGUCCCUAGAGAGAACGUAAAGAAUACUGAAGCGAGUUGUAGUUGCAUAAGAAUGAAUUCACUCAACGCAGUUCGGAACCCGUUCUCCAGACCAAUUUCCAUCAUCAUAGGAAGUGCCAUCAAGAAGCCUAGCUGCACAAAGGACUGAGAAACUAGAGCAACCUGAAGAGGCUCAUUGUGAAUGAAUCUUUUUCCGGUUGAUAGUGCUGCAUCAAGACCACUGAGAACAAGAUACAGGCGUCCAUACAGGAAUACAUACACUAUCAAGACAGUUAUCUGCACCAAUCAAUCAGGUAAAAGUUAAUUACUUACUGCAAACUAGUUAUAGCUAUGAAAGGAUUUCAGUGUAUAAAGAUGUACCAUUGUACUGAAGUAGAAGCCUACUGUAGUGAAGUAACAUGACAGCAUUCUAAAGAAAUCAAAACGGUGUCCGAGCCUGUAGAUGUCACGACUUAAUGUUUGUUCCCCGUUACCAUUUGCUAUCUUCGCCUCGAAUAGAGAGAUUUGAUUAAGACCCACAUCUCUUCCCUUGCCAACUUGCAUGUAUUCAUGAUGAGUAACAUUGCCUUCACGCAGCGUCGAAUUGAAACCUGGCAUACAGAAAAAACAUAUGUCAUGAUAAAAAAAUUUUGAAGCAUGAAUCGAGAAAUGAAAGACCUGCAUACCUGCAAAUAUGUCCUCACUCAAAUUGAUAAUUUUGGACGCCUUGCUUAUACCACCCCUCGUUAGGUGGAAAAGCCGGUCGAAGACAUCAGGAUGACCAUAAUGGAACCGAACCCUGCACAGGAAAAAGGAGGUUCAGAGAAGAGAGAAAAAGGUUGUAGAACAUUGUAGGAAAGAAAUGAACACGCCUUAACAUCAAGCAUUUCUCAACUAGCACACAAAACCGCAAAAAUGAUUAGACUGAAGUUCCUAGAAGACAAUAACAGAAAAAGGAACCAAAAAUGAGAGGUAAAAAAAAAACACUAAAAUCCACCCAAAUAUAUGAUGAUUGCUCGCCAAGUAGAUUGAAAUUCAAAACCUUGGUAGAGAUCAGAUUCCAACGGUAAUCUUAUAAAAAUUAAACCUUAGUAUAUAGCUUUCAAUCCUACAGCUAAAGCUGCUUGUAUAAUUUUUAGCUUUCUGAUUCUAUCAUCAACGCCCAUUGACAAAGAAACUGAUGGGGAAUCGGGUCUUUUUCGGAUAUAUACUCGUCGUCAGAACCGUAUUCAGAAUAUUUGGUUGGACGAUGGACCAGUACUAGAAGUCUGACGUAAAUCUGAGUUUGAUUUCAGAUUCGGUGGGUUAAUUUUGAGAGUUUUAUUAGAUUAGGAUUUUUUUACUUUAUUUGGAAGCUUUAGAUUAGAAUUCUAUUCCUUUCUAAAACUCUGUUUUGAUUUCUGCUAUGAGAAUUUGUUUAAUUCCCUUUUUAGGACUCCUAGUCGUGUUCCUAGUCGUUUUAACCCAUAUUCUAUAAAUAAGGGUCAAGACUCUGUAAUAAUGUAUGCUUUUGAUUAAUGAAAAUUGAAUUAUUUGAAUUCCUCCUGAAUUUUCCUUGCCUUUGCGAAAGCGUCGACUGGAUUGAAUCCGGCUCGAGAGCUCAGUCCCGUGGAUUAUCUUUUCCUUUUUCGUUUAUCUUCUAUUUUAUUUUAGCCGUUAGAUUACAAAUAAAAGAUAGCCACUGAGAUCGACCUAUCUGUGCGGGACUCACCAGCAGGAUCUCCGCACAACAAGGAUGUACAGGAGAAGCCGUUCGUGAGGCGCAUUCCCCCUACGAUCCCGUCGUUGCCGCAGCAACCAUCUAAUCGAGAUUGCAAUCCAAGCCUUCUCCGUGGAAACGAGUCGUCAUCGAAUCCUUCAAUUUCUCUAUUCUUUCUAUGGAUAAUUCCUAAUUCCUAUUAUCCUAUUUCUAAUUCCCUCCCUUUCUAAACCCUUACUCUAGCUCUCUUUUCCACUAUUUUAGAAGUUCUAACGAAGCAGCUAAGAUCCGAUGAUCGAAAGAAGUUACAUCGACUCGCUCACGUGCAGACAAUGGAUCCGACCUUGCGGAAACUCGAAGGUAUGAUCUUUCCCUAACCAAUCUCUUAUUUGAGUUAUCGAAUUUCCAGAUUUGUUGUUUAUUUCUUUUUAGUUUGAUUUAUAGGAAUCGCUUGAUAUGUAUUUUGAGCAAUUCUCGAAAGCCCCUAAACUCCCUAAACUGUCCUGCAUUGGUAACACUAACGGAAAAAAAACCCCAUAAUGUCACAGCCAAAAUUAGAAGACUCACCUCAAUGGGUUGGCAAGUACACGUUGCCCAAUAGUCACAAAACUGGUCUCCUGAUUUGACAUAAACCAUGCAAGAGAAGAAACACUGCACAAUGUACCAGAUCAGAAAUUGUACCCGUCAGAACUUGAACAUCAAAAGGCCUCCAAGUUGGUUGGCUUCUAAGAAUGUAAAGUACCUACCUUCCAGUAAAUAUAUGUUCCCUAACUCCAAGUAUUGAGGGAUAUCUCACACCAUCGUGCUUCUUCAGGAAUUCUUGCAACAGAUUUCUCAUCUUGAAUGCCUCCUCCAUGUAGUGCUCCUAUAUUUGGUGCAAGAGAAGAUAGGAUGCUAAAUAACAUCACCACAAACCAAAAGCAAAAAUAGACUUGUUUACCUGGUUCAUAUCUAUAGCCUGCAAGCCUUCACCUCGCGUGAAAAUAAUAGCAUGAUUUUGGUUUUCAGGCUUCCCUUCACCUAAUAUGGGAUAGCCAGGAAGCUUUAUCCGGUAAAUUACCUGUGCAUCAGAAACACAGACGAUCAACAGUAUUUCUACAACUGCAGAGACUAAUGCACAGAAGAGCCUUAGAAAUAUUGCAUCAUUUAAUAACAUGAAAGGUUCAUGAUAAAUAGAAAACCAAUUGGAACAGCUAUUAGAUCUUACGAAAGAUAUAUACUGAAGUUCAAAAAACGAAAAAAUCUCACAAAAUCUGACGGCAGAAUUAGGAUGAGAAAUUUUUCAUAUUGAAAGCAUUACAAUUUCUAUUCUCAAGACAAUCAUGGAAAUACCAGUACAUUAGUGCAUCUCAUAAUAUAACACUCAAAAUCGGAAAUUAAUGAAGAGUACGCAGAUUUUAGCAUUUUGGAACCAUAUAUUUGGAUCACAAGACCAUUCAAUGAGGUCCAAUUUUCACAUCCUUCAUUGGACAAAAAAGACUCACAAACUCAUCAUCGGCAACUAGUGCCCAACUAGCCUGUCUUAAAGCAUUGGAUAACUAAAACAGAGACUAGAUAUAACUAAUGAAAAUGUUAACUACGUGAAGAUAGAAAAGAUUGCUAAAGCUGUCGGUUAGAAUGCGGAAGUUAAAGCAAAGAUGACGUAGAUAACAAGUGAGUUUUCUACUCCUUAAAACUAAUACACCGAUCAUAGUUUACAAGAGACACCACUUAGAGAGAGGUUAGAAUAGGUAAUUGAGAACUAGAUUGGCAUGCUGGAUAGAACAAUCAAACUUGUAUGCAGAUCACGAGUUGAUCAUUUGAUUUAUUUAUAUCCAGCUAAGGCAGAAUGGACCAUACAAAGCAAGAUGGAAAUAGUGAGUUGAUAGUUGGGGAAGCUAUAACAAGUGAAGGAAUCUGAUAGAUGAGGGCAAAAUUGGAAGGGAUCCAGUUGAAUCAUUCCAUAGAGAUUUAAUGCCUUACUAUAAACUGGAUCUGGGAUGAUCAGAAUGGCCCUCAAUUGGAUUUAACGUCUCACUAUAAAUUGGAUAUGGGAAUGAGAGAUUAAAUUCAAAUAGUUUGUCACUCGCACUCUAUUGUUUAAACCUAAUAAUCAUGGGAUUAAAAAGAAAGGGGUAAGCCACAAAAGUAUACACGAAAAAAAAAAAAAAAAAAAAAAAAUUACCUACUACAUACGGUGCAAAUGUGCAGUCUAUAUCAUGCACACAAAACAAGCAGAUCAAACAAGCGAACAACUAUAGGUCAAAGGAGAAAUACAACUUCACCGUAAAAUAAACCAGUCAUCGCCAGCUCAAUCUGAUAAAGAAGUGCUAUAGGACAACUAUUUCAAACAGUUAUAUUUGAUCCUUCAAAUUUUCAUCAAAUCUAUCUGUCAGUCAAUAUAUAUUGGAUAUAUUAAUCUAGAAGACUUCAGCAUGCAUUAAAAACAAGGCAAUCAAGAUUCAACGAUGUCUUCCCCAGGAUAAUAUUCCUAGGAGUUUGCCAUAUUAGAGCUCGGUUAAGUCAAGAUAUUUAGCGGUAACAACUAAAUUUCCUUACAAUGAUUUGUUAAAUCAAUAUUCUGUGUCAUAAGCCUCUCACAAAAUGCAUGUCAGCAAAUGUGACUUCGGAGAAAUAAUUACCAUCCAGAGAAAGGAAAAAAUAUUUCUUUCCUCGACAGGUGAGAAAGGAAUGAUUUUCAAAUAUAUCAAAUGUAUAUAAGAAUAAUUUAAUACAAGACAAUAUAUUACCUGGUCAAGAUUUUGUACUGUCUCUGAAGAUUCAUCAGUUUUAGUCGAAGCCGCCGCCUUUACCAGUGCAGAGUAAUAAACCUUCUCAAUCUUUUUAGACCUAUCUUUGCUAGUCUCUUCUACCUCAUCAACAUAAGCGACACGAAGAGAUGGAUAUCUGCCAAAACAACGCCAUCCUUUCUAGUCAAAGAGAGUAUAGAAACAUAAUUUGUACAAACUAGAAAUAUAGAUCAGAGAAAAAAGAGCAGAGUGUCCCUGGUAGGCUUAAUAAAGAGCCGCAACUUUAACAAUUGAAUUAAACUUUCUCAUGUGCAUACAUUGUGUACUUGAUAAUGCAUGUAAAAAGGAGAUACAACAUAAUUUAGCAUAUGAAGAUGCUAUACAAUAAGCAUACAACUUACACAAAGACAAUCCCAAAAAAAAGGGGGAAAAGUGAAAUGUGUUAUUUUAACAAUGAACUCAGUAAAACAACAAGUGGCAGCCAUGUUGCCCAUCGGCACGGUGGGGGCACAGGCCUGUGCCCAAUGUACCGACAAGAUAUCAGCACAAUACGACCCCUUUGUCGAUGACACAUCUCAAAACCCUCUUUUUAUUAAAUUUAGCAAGUAGUUACCUCAAUAAAGUGCAAAAGAUUUGAUAAAAAUAUAUAACAAGGAAUAUAUAACAAGGAAAAUAUUGGUGCCAAAGAAAAUUAAUAUUUUAUGCCACUGGGUGUAGGCAUACAAGUAUUUUUUUUGACCGGCACGAUAUUAGCACGGCACAUCACGCAUUGAGACGCACCAUGCAAAAAGUAUUCAGCACAACCCCGUGCCACGACACUUAAAUUCUUACUAAGAGAAAUCAUACAUACGUUGUCAUGAGUCUUAGAAUAUCCUGUGCACGAUGAUCUCCUGAACGUUUCUGAAUUCCAUAGUUUUGGCAAGAGACAACAUAUGUGAACUUCAUAUCAGCUACAGCCUGGCAUUGAGCCCAUAAAGAUCUUCCAACAUUAUCCUCAGCUGCUCUGUAACCUUCCAUAAGAUCUGAAGAAAGUAUCAAACAAUGUUAUUGAAGAAGUCAUUACUUUUGAAGUGGUGAAUUAGGAAAUCAUGCAAUCAACAGUUCACAUCGGAACUACCUUCAUCUUUGGCCAUAUCAAGAAAAGCCUGAAGUUCCAAAGCUUUUCGAUAGUACAUCAUUCCUCUGACUGUAAAUAAGUACAAACAAAAGUGCGGUAGAAGGUAAAGCAAAAGAUAUGUUAUGUGAUUAGAGAGAGAAUGUAUAAUAAGCAGGAAAAGGGUGGGGAAAACCCACAAUAGAAAUCAAAUACCUGUUCUAGUUAAAGUCUGACCCCUAUAUGACGCCCAAAGACGAAGCUCCUCUUCCAACUCAGGAUUUUCACGAAGCUGUUCCUCCGUAGUGCACCCUACUCGCUCAAGAAAGUUUUUCCAUUCAUCUACAAAGCAGCAGCACAUGAAAGAUCAGUUCAAAUUUUGACGGUUAAUAGAACAUUCUGAACGUCGAUCUAUUAGGAAUAGAAAAGACCUGGAUAUAUUUUUUGCAAGUAGAAAAGGAUGGAAACUCCGUCUUCAUUUUCCGCCUUUAGACCUUCUAAAGAGAAAAUAACAUCUUCCUUGUAGUAGGGUGUCAAGACACUGGCAGAGGAAGCCAUGCCAGCAAAAUCAAAAAAGGGUUCACGUAGAAGAACCAAAUAGUUAAAUAUGGAGAAAGCAGCAAAUAAAAAAAACCAAAAUAUUCUAAUGAUGAUCCCGCUCAUUAUGACUAUAAACUAGACUGUACAUCCAAGUAGAACCAUCAUUUCUCAUGAAAUAUAGCUCUUUUCAUUAAGUACGGUAAUUAACAUGAAUUUAAGGAAGAGAAUACGCGUUUGUUUUAUCAUAGGAAGGCCCUACAUGUUGGAAGUUAUGGCGCAGACAUUGAUAGUUCCCACACAAAUACAGAAAAGCCAAGAUAUAACAAACAGGAAAUAAGAUCGGAAAUCCAAAGAGAAUAAACAUAUACAUUCUUAUCAGACAAAUCAGCACAACCAGUGCAAGGAAAUAACAAUUGUGCAGAUAAGAAUCCAAAGUUAGGAAAUAUAACUCCCGAACCCAUUACAUGAGUAUACAGAACCAAUUUUGAGACUUACGAGAAUGAUAGCAUAUUACGGACUUUAGGAGCAUUGGGCAUAUCCAUAAACAAAGAAUUGGAAAAGAAAGAUAUACGCCUUCUAGCAUCAAGGUUCGUAGGAACAUCCAUCGCAGAUUCCUUCACAGUGAGCAACAGAUAAAGUCUCUUGAUCUGGAAUCAUUAAAUCACAAUAAACCCAAUAGUCAAUUUGUCAGAAUGGCAUAGAAAAUACAUUCAAGCAUAUAAAAAGCAAAAAAGAAGUCAAUUAUCAAAACAAGGUGAAAGGAAAGUUCAUAUAUCAAAAUAAACAAACCUUCUCGGUCCAUGCAUCAGAUUCUUCAACAGGAAACUUAAGGGCUCGGGUGAACAACUGAUCCUGUUGAUCGAGUGGCGUUAUACCCUCAUGCAUUUUAGAAGCUCCACCAUGGAUGGAAUCCAAAAGACUGCAAGAAAUGUACAAUGAUCAUAAUUUGGUUUACUACAAAGUACAAACUGACCACAGACUCAAUUUAGCAUGCACAAGAGAAAUUUUUUUUGUUGAAAAUUUAUCAUACUUGAUACAAUAGAUAACAGAAGUACCUCCAAGUUUUAAGCACAAGAUACUAUAUGCAAACAAAAUGCUUAAAAGUGAAGAGCUGUAUUGCAACCAUUUUGAUAAAAAUCCAAGGAUAUGAUUACCUAAACAGAAGCGAAUAUAGGGUAUUACAUCAAUUUUCCAGUUUGACCUACCUCCUACUGCUUUAAGCUGCACUCACCUCUAACAGCAUGCAAUGCACAUAGAAAAGUUUAGAGCUUAUCACAUCACGAAAAGAGGAGAUGAUAUUUGGAGACCCAAAGCAAAAGUUCUAAUUUGGAGCUUUUUGUUUGACCGGUGACCGCUGAGAGAAGGUAAAUAAAAGAUUUAAUACAGUGCUUCACCUAAUAGCACUAAUCAAACAACACUUCAGCAAACACUACACCCUAUGGUAGGGCCAAACAGGCCCUAAGGUAGUAAAAAGUGGUAAGAUGGCACAAAAAGCAUUGCCAGGAACUGACUGCCUUGCCUCUGGCAUAUGCAGCAACUAUGCAGAGUAUAAGCGGUGCUUCUUUGUAGACCGAAUGUAUACAUUAGCAGGUACACAUAAUCAGAUCAAGUCUGUACAGAAUUAACUACACGCUAAAUAUUAAAUCAUCCAGAAAAUAUGUAACAGUCCAAAGUUAUUGUUAGCCCAUCCAAACUACACUUUCAACGUUAUUCUUCUCCCAUACGAACUUCUUUAUCUAAUAAUAAACUUGAAAAGUUAGAAUAGAGAAAUUUCAGAAUUCAUCACUUCAUUGCUCUAUCACCCCUGAGAUAAAAAGUAGCAAUAUCAUAUUUACUUCAGCAAAGGUUUAUUCAUCAUUCUUACCCAGAGAGUUGUUCGUCCAUUAUAUGUUCGUCCAUUAUAUCCCUUGUGACCACCUCAAGCAUGUCUUGGAAAAGAAUAAUAACCUUAUCUAAGUCUUCCUCCUUAUUUUUCUUCUGCGGUGACAUACAAAGUUGAAUGAGACCAUAUCCUUUGCAAAAUUGUGAGAAAGCAACUGAAUCAUGACGUUAAGUUCAUACCAGUAGAUCAAUCAAUUCAACAAACUUGUUAUAUAGAUCGGGGAGGAACCUCAUGUUCAAGCCCUUUAUCAAUGUAUCAUUCCCAAUGUGCCCAUCCACUGCAUCAAAAAUUUUUCUUAUGACCCUGAAAAAUGUUAGUAGUUUCAUAAGACAAAAAGGCAUAGUAAUGCCCGACGUGUAAAACCAACAGUCGACAAAAGAAGAAAAUACAACUCACUCUUUUUCACGCCGACCAACAACUAAACUAUUUAUAAUGUUCUUAAAAGAUGCGUAGCACUCCCUAACAGCAGAGAGCAUAUAAGGAUCUGAAUAAACUCUCUUCUUCAGUUCACGAUCUUUUCCAUCACUGUCUGCUGCCAUAUCCAAUGCUAUUGGAAUCUAGACAUCAAGCUAUUAGAAUCAGACCGUUUUAUGAGCACAGAAAGCUAACAUAUUAUUCACACAAUUGAGAAAGAGAGAGAGCUCAAAUGUGUGCAAAUAAGGGGCCGAACCUUGCUUGCAAGCAGGAAAGGAGGCCACUGGAAAAGGUCCAAGUCACGAUCUUUUGAGUAGGGAACAAGCAACAGUUCCAUUUCGCUAGAUUCAACUGGUUAGUUAAUGUCACAUACUCAAAAGAAAAAAAAAAAGAAAUGCAACAAAACAGUUUAAAACGUAUUGUCAUACUUGUUGGUUAUCAAGUCCUCUUCCCGAAAACUGGUGAUUAUCUUGUUCCAAAUUUGAGCAAACCUUGCUGCUGCCUUCUCGUUGUCACUAGCAGGCGUCUGAAACCCCGAGGUGCAAAAAGAGAGCAAAAUGAAAACAUAAUCUAGCAAGAUCACUUUGUCAUAGCAAACAACAAAGUUACAGCAGCUGUACAGUCGCAUAAUAAACAUAAGGCAAGGAACUUAACCUCAGCAAAUUUGCUUGAUAAAGAAGCCCGUAACCCUUUCCUUUUGUUAUCAGACUUCUCAACUGGAACCAAGCGCGCAUUGAAAGCACCAGGCAAUGAUUGAAAUCGAGAUCUUAGCAUUCCUAGAGUGCGGAUCUGUUCUCAUAAAACAAAAAAAAAAAGCAUGUAAAAUCAUGGAAAAUAACACAAAAACAAAAUUAUGUUGUUUUAGAUAUUAAAAAGACAAAUUCAGCAUCCAAAGCAGCUAGUGCCUAUUAUAAUAGUAAACAUGAGUGAUUGGCCAAAAAUCAAUACUAAAAUUGAAUAUAAUUAAAAAUUAAACGAGUUAAGGUACUCCACUGUUCUUUCUUCAACUUAAAACUGCUCACUUGCUUGCAAUGAAAUCCUAAACGGGUAAGAUGUUUCGACAAACGUGUAGGGCAUUUAAGCAUUUACUUUGCAAAUUUUAUCUUUAAUUUUGGAUAUACAUUUCAGUUUGUUCUUAGAUUAGCUUUUGGAGAGCAGGUAAAAACGAUGUAAAUUAUGUCAAAGGAGGAUCAAAGGACAGAUCGUCUUCUCAGUCCAUCACAUACUCCUGUAUUCAUGGAAUUGGGUCUCUUAGUGAUCAAAUCUUCUAGCAAUCAUAUCUACUGUGCCUUACUAAAGCUGCAGAACUCAUCCCAUCAAAAAGUUCCUUGCAUAGAAAGAUAACAAUAAGAUGAGAGGCAUAUAUGCCUUGAUCAAAUCUUCUAGCAAUCAUCCUUACCAUGCAUUACUAAAACCGCAGAACUCCUUCCAUCAAAAAGUUCCUUACAAUACAAAGAGGCAUAUCCCUUGCACACGAAUAUGGCAAUCAAAACAAAAAUCAACAUACCAACAUACACAGCCUAUCAUCAAAAAACAAUACUUUAAUUCCUAAGCGGUCUGAAUUGCAUUGCAGCUUCAAGAGAUUCAAACUAAGGUAGCUGUAAUCUAAAACUAGCAUACUCAAAAAUAAAUAAAUAAAAAAUGUAACUACCUACUCUAAGGGCACAAAUACACAAGCAAUGUGAAUCAACUAUCACAAUCCAGGUUGUUUAGUAUAUUUAGGAAAGAAGUAACUCAGAGAAAAGAGGCAUGACCAAACCUCUCCAAGGCGACGGAGAGCACCAUAAAUACCACCAACUAAAGUUGAGAAAAUUGCAUACCAAAUCUGAGUAUCCAUGAAGUAUACCUAGAGGCAUCCAUUAACUAAAUUAGCAAUAAUUGAAAAAACAAAAAGCAAAGAUAGCUUGUACUUGCAGGCAGAAUUAAAGGAAGCUUACAAGAACAAUUGGAGCCCAAAGUGCAAUCACAACACCAAUAUUGUUAUUUGCUGCAGAUAGGAUUAACAACAUAAGCUGAAUUUCACUAACAUCAAGUGGUGUAAAAUCAUACUCGAGUUAGUACCAUGUGGGAAGAAUUCGUGCCACUGAAAAGAUGUAAUAGGUUCUCUCAUGAUAUCUUUUGUUGGUUUUACAAGAGGCUUUAUCUGCAUUGAGAAAGUUCAUAGGCAAUAAAUCCACAGUAAUUUGAUAAAAUCGAAGUUAAAAUAAGUAAGGAAGACGCAAAACAUAGGAGAGAAAUUUACACAAGCACAAAUAAUUUUACACAAGCACAGUUGAUUGUGACAAGUAUAUUUCUCAUAUCGACCGAGUUACCGAAAAAUUCUUCUUACUUUUUCUUCCAAAUUAGCUCCAUCAAUUCAAGUUUAUUAAAAAUUUUAACUUCAUGAAAACAAUGAAGAGUUUAAAAACAAAGAAAGAUGCUGCAGGGAGAAAGUUUUCAUUAAAAGCACCAUACAAGGGUCAAUAAUGCACCAUUAAGCCUAUGAUCUGCUAUACAUGAUUAACAUCACAUAAACAUCAUGAUUCAAAUUAAAUGAUUACAAAUUAUAAUUAUACACAACAUUCAUUUUCUCCAAUGCAAAAUAUUCAUGGAUAUGGAGGUAGUAAAGACUAGGCACUAAAGGAACAUGUUCCACAUUAUCAAGAUGAAUUUUUCCAUACAGCCUUCAUUCAUGUAGUAGCAGAACUCAACCAAGGAUAAAAAAGAAAAGAAAAAACAAACGAAGAAAAGAGCUACCUCAAUGUAGAAACUAAAUGCCAACUUCGUCGCUAAAAGAAGAACCCAGAACAUAGUAUACCUGAUAUUUGGCAAACAGUCAGUGCAAGGAAAACAGUAGGCCAGUAUUCAAUAUUAACAUCUACGAAGAGAAAUAAUACUGAAUCUUACUUGAAAAGGGAGAAUGCGCCCUCAUGCAUACCCCUUCCGACAUACAAUCGAGGCUGCCAGUUACAGAAGUUAUUGAACUGGACUUCUAAAGCAAAUGCUCUACAAACUAAUCCAUAACAUAAAUAAAGAAGAAGUCAAACUAAAUACCUGAGACCACCACAUCAUGAAUGUUACGAUCUUAAGGUUUGAUCUCUCAAGAAUUCGCCUUAGGAGUGGAAAAAGAAACAACAAAGCAGAAAGAAUAUUUGGCGAUAAAUAUAUGACCACGGCCAAGAUGUAAAGUGACGGCUGAUUCUGACCAUCACCCAGCCAACCUUUGAUUGUCUUGGCUAGACCAGUAGGAUUCUCCCAUGUGUAGGCAUAAGUUACAGGUAGAACUACCACCCACGCAGCAGCUGAUAUCAACUUCAAAAUAAAUCGCAGCUUAACUGCUAGGGACAUACUUCUUCUUGCUUUCCAACUCAAAAUUAUAUCAAGGAUGGCUGCAGAGGUAAACAAUCAUCAAACAUAAAACUAGUGAAUAUAUGUUAAUUUAAUGAAUGAGAGACAAAAACCAGGAAAUGUAUGAAGUUAUACGCCAUAAAAUACAUCACAACUUUCGUAACUCUGUAGCCAAUUAUUUUUGUAGUCAAUAAAAAAUACACAGGAAUAUAGCAUCACAGUUACAAAUCAUGAAAUCUGCAGCAAACUCUCUUGUCAAAGAUCAAUGAGUUUACCUUGUAGAACUGGUUUCUGCGUGAUUAAAAUGUUUUAACUAAACGAACAAAACUGGCAGUUGUUAAUUAAUAGGGACCUACUUAAUCCUGAAUUAUAAAACAUCAUGACUACAACUUUAAAAGAAAAAUCUUGCUAAGUUCAUUAUUCAUCCUCAUUCAACUCAUUAGAAAGCUGAGAUCAGCAACUUCUCGGUUGCUGAGAAUAAUCACAUUAAUAUGCUAAAAUUAUGCAAAUCCAAAACAACUAUCCAUGAUAGAAUAGUAAAAUCCAGCAGUAGCAGAGACUGAUGUGGAGUAACAACAAGAAUCUACAUAAAAAUUGGAAUAAUGGUUUACGAAAUAAACAGUUAUUAGGAGAACAGAUAAGAAAGAAAAGGCACAAGCUAAAUAAAGUCGACUAAACGAUACCUCAAGUGUAUGUGGAAUUCUCAAAAGCUUAGGGGGUAUUUGGUUCCCCCGAAAAAAACUCCCAGAAAAAAGUUUUCUGGCUGGAAAAGUAUUUUCCAUUAGUUUGGUUCCAAAGGAAUGUAAUUUUUCUGGAAAAAGUUUGUUUUUCCAGAUUUCAUGGAAAUGUCUCCUUUUCAUUUUCCAGAUUUUCUUAUCUGGAAAACAAAAAUGAAAACUAUGAUAGGGUGUUUUCAUGGAAUUUUUUUCCCCCGGAAAACAGAUUUCCACGAUUUCCCGAGAAACCAAACACCCCUUUAGCAGCUUAGAAAAUAAUGUCAGAACAAACCUUGUCCCAAUUUUAGUAUAGCAGCAGUUAUAAAUAUGCUCAAAACCUUCUUAAACACUCCACCAUCAAAGAUAUCACUAGGUGAUCCACCAUUCCAAGCAAUUAUAAUCAUAGCCUGAAAGAAAGAAAACAAAAGAAUCCCUAUAUAGAAAGAGGCAAGAAAGAAGAAAAGAACCAAGGAAAUGGAGGAGAUCCGAAUAAGUUGACAACAGCAGAAAAGAUAAGAAGUAACCUGUAAGCAUAGAAUAAGGAAACUCCACAUCCUGUCAAAACUUCGGAAAAGAUGCCAAAAUGAGCGUAUUUCGACAAAAUUUAUCUUUCCAAUCCAUCGAUCAGUACGAGCACGUUUGUUCUCCUAAAUUACAAUGAAAAUUCAGUCAAGAUAACACUACAAAAUGAUAACAGAGCAAAACUAAUUCAGCUUGCCUAAUUAGCAAACAGUAGUUUUAUCAGAAAUUUCUUAUAGUAUGACUGCAUCUUGAGUUUCAUCAGCAAAAAUGUGUUUAUAACCUCAUCAAACUUCAGUCGCUGUAGUUCAAAGUAAGAAAUUGAGAACCCAAUAAGACCUCUAAAUAAACCCUACGGCCCAAACUUACCUUUACUUCCUACUAAGUACUAACCUAGGAACUGGAAGUAUACUAAAACUAGGUUUGCCUUCUCUUGGACGUAUAUAUUGCGACUAAACCAACCUGUGACAAUUCUGUACGUCAAAGAGUAUAAAAAGCUACUCAUUCGUAAAGGAAGCUUACCCCAUUUUUUACAUUCUGAGAAGUAUCAGGCGGAUGGCCAAAAAAAUCAGCAUCAGCUCUCAUAGGCCAGCCUAAUCGGAAGCAAUCAACUGACCUGCAAACAAAUGUAAUAAAUUCAGAUGAAGUUCCUAAAAGCAUAAGUGAAUGUUUGAAGCUCAAGAAGGUUAUUCCAGAUUUAAUUUAAAUUGUUACCAGAAAUAUUCAUUUAAAUCAUCAUAAUUCCUCCAAUGUGAAUGCUUUGACUUGAUUUUUUUGCUCCUGUCAGUUUCCUACAAGAAAACAUAUCAAUCAUCAUCAACCGUGAGAAUAAGAGAAACAAAAGUUUCGAUUAGUAGUACUCAAACAAAAAUUUUACCGUUUUUAUAACAUUGUAAAUUGGAGUUACAACUUUCCUUAGAAAAGCUUCUUCAUCACCCCCAUAUGCUGGCUUAAUGUUUUCACCAGUCAUUGCGCUGACAUUCCCCGCCAGCAUACCAUAUAGUUCAAAUGCCAUCUGUUAGAAAGACAAAAUAAAGAGAAAGAGUCUUGUAAAAAGCCGAGUUUCAUGAAUUGCACCCAGCAGAUGUAUUUGUAGAUUUGACCAGCACCACUUGGCCUUCUUGUAUUCUCAUGCAAGAACUAAUGAACAUGUAGUCACUUCAGAUGUUUUCAUUAUAUUUUAUAGUAAAUUCCAAAGCUUAUGCAGGUAUCCAAAGCCAGACCACUUGAUUAAAAUAGGACUGAUCCAAAUCGAGCAACAACCUGACCUAACACAAUCAGCCACAAAUAGCAUAUCUGAAAUGAUAACUUGACCUCAUGUAGCUGAUUGCAAUACUAGCCAGCAGAAGGCUAUUUCUAUGCCAUGCCCAGGGGUUUAGUUUUCAGAAAAAGUAAUUUUUUUUUAAUCAUUAGAGAUUUAGAGUAACAAGAGCCUCACAACAUAAACCACACGGGACAUGUACAGGCCCGCCACAUGCAUAGGGUUCCUCUGCCCAUAAGGAGAGUCUUCUCUAUAUAUACACGACGUCAGGCGCAGAACAUCACUUUUUAUGACGCUAGACUGCCAAUAACUAGCUGAAGCCAUAUAAAACCACAAAAAACCAGACUAAUUUACCAAAAUCAAGCAAAUUCAUUUCAGUUUCAAUCAAAACCAAUAUGUUUGUAUCAAAACUUCAAGGAGUGCUCCAAAAUAAACAUUAAACACUAUAAAGCAAAAUAUUAUAUAAAGAAUAACUCCUAUGACAUGAAAGCCUUUUACUUUUUCUUAUUUUUUAUUUUUUCUUCUCCAUUACUGUUCUUUCUUUAAACAGGUGGGGAUGAAAAAAACCUGGUUUCUGAUACUCAGAAUGGAGACAUUUAGUUUUGUUUAAAACUGAAAUGAAGGCACGCAUGCAUCAAAACUUUUAGACUAACAACUUAAAUCCUCUAACUGUUACUGCAUUUCAGAACACAAAAGUUUGCCCCGUCUACCAAUUUGAAACUACUAAUUAAAUCCAUCUCUCAAUUAACUUCCAAAAUAAAUAUAAUAAAUAUCAGGCACAAUAUCGCAUUUAAAAUGUAAAAGAGUACAGUAAUAGUGCUGACUUAGAAAAGAGAAUCAUUCAUAGACAGCAUACAUGAUGAUAGAUGUAGCAAAGACACUCUGGCAUGAACCUCAAGUUUGCUGCUUCACCCCAUAUGAGCAGAUAAAGACCCAUAUAAAGAAGCUUACGCUGUUGUACUUCCUGUUGGAUAGUUGGCAACCUAUUUUUUUUCAAAAGUAAAUUACGUCAGCAAGCUAAAAGAUAUUCGAGAAUACAGGUAUUUAAAUUACUGGAAUUCACCAUGAAAUAAGACCAAAAGCAUGAUGAUGUUUUUAAAAAAUGGAGCCAAAAGCAAAGCUAUAUUUGAGAUAUCAUAGGAAACAUAAAGUGUUUCCUACUUCUACACAUCCUUACCAAAGACUACUUUUGCGGUUCAGGUACUUGCACCACUCCUUAUAAUUCUUAAACAGUCUCUUCAUCACAUCAGUUAGAGCGCGGUCGUCCAACUAGCAAAUAUUACAGGUGUUAUAUGGACAAACAAAAAGAAUGGCAGAAUCUUUGCUCAUGUUUGUAUACUGUGCUAAGAAGAAAUAGAUAAAGAAACCUUUGGCUGUUGGUCAGGCUUUGGAAACUGGCGUAUAUGAGCACUAGCAAGCAACAAAAUCAGAUGCUCCCUUUGAUUAGACACAUUGUCCUUCUGCAAAAAAUAGAGAGAACCCUUAUUUUAAUGAUUUUGUCCAGCAGAAGAAUGAAUUUAAACACCUAAUAUUUGUUAAGAUGUUAAAGCUACUCUAGAAAGAACAAUGUCACACGUGCAGUUGACGAAAAAAAAAAAAAAAGCUUUCCAACUGUACACCUGAAAUCCAAACAUAGCCUGAAGCCAAUCGAGAAGAUCUUCGUCAGGCUUUCUCUUGUGAUCCUUCGGCCAUGGUAGACCUCUGGUAUUACGGAGGGCAUAAACAGCAGCUUGAAUCUACAGAAUAUGUCAAUUGAAACCUUUAAGCUCGCUACGCAACUAAGGCAUAUCUUCAAGAUAAAAGGUUUAUGGCAAAAACAAUGCAAGAUAAGAAGGCCACAAAUAGAGGAGCGAACCUCUGGAUACCGCAUGAUAGCCUGAUUUGCACUGUCGGGAUCGAGAGGUAGGAUAUUGUAGGGUACAUAUAUCUUAGUCUUUUCCUCUACUUGAUUAUGUGUUUCCAAUAUCUGCAUGCAAGUUAUUAAUUGAAAAUACAAGAAAACAUGACUGUUAGGAAAACAUAAAUCAGAUCAAGAAAGCUAAAACACAUAAAUCAGAUCAGCAAAACUAAUAGGUUAAAUCGACAUCAGUUAACCAAUGUGACUAGUUCAUACCGACUGAUCAACUUCCAGCGACUGCGUUAGAUUAACCGCUUUUAAAACCUCAAACAAGACAGCAGCAGUUUGAUAUGCCUUCAUGAGCUGUGCACUGUAGACAAUAUAUAUUAUAUGUUUAUGCACAAAACAUCACUAAUCACUCAUCUAGAUAGCAUUACUGGCAAAUUUAACAAUCUACUUACCGAUCAGCUUUGUCAGCAGCAUUUUGAAGUGCUUGGAUGUACUUCUUGUAAUAAUCCUGGUAGAAGGUCUUCAUUUCUUUAGCAUCACUCCGUUGAACCCUUCCCUUCAAAGUUGGAUCAUUCUCCUGGCAGAACAAAAAAUUCACCAAAUCAAACCCAAAGCACAGAAGUGCAUAUCUACUGAUAUCAUGUCAAUCUUCAUCCAUUUUCUAGUUAAUCACGCAGUGCCUUCUCUUCUUCAAGGAAAUAGCAUAAUAAUUGCAAAUACUUCAGAAUUUUGCAAAGAGAUAACAAUAAAUGCACUCAGUGAUAAUUGUUCUGAUAGAAGUAGCCACCCAUAUAGCGUCAUCUACUAACAGAUGGCAGCGCCUUAAGCGUGAAAAAACAAGUGAGUUGAUGUAACAGGGUACUCUAUUAAGCACAGACAAGAACAAAUGCAUUCUUAAAGUACCAAGCCUACGGUCCGAUAAUGUACUGUAAGUAUAUUAUCUCACCUCAAUACCAUGAUUUACAACUAUGAAAUAUUCAUAUGAAUUGUCAAGCCUAUGACAAUUCCCCUAAUAACCUGCUUUCACCAGGAAGAGGAUAGGCAGCUUCCUUCCUGUUGGCCAACUUUCUAUAAAUUACAACAACAUACGAGGUCUGCAGGCCACCUUCAGACUACAUAUGCUAAGUAUAUAUAAUCACACAAAACAGUUGCUAAUAAAGCAUGUUUUUGUCAAUAACUCAUAAGCAAAUUCAUAAAUAUUAUACAUCAGACAACUUCUUACAGAGUAAAAUGGCACAUUUAUUUUCUACACAAUAAGAAUUUGUGGCGUUAUUUGAGGGAAAUUUACAUAAAUCAUUAAACAAAUGGCUUCUAUUGCAAGCUGCAAUACCAAUCAUGUGUUGAAUGCUCAGUGCAUCAAGUGCCAUCGAUGGUGCUUUAUCAAUAAGGUUGACUAGCAUUACUUAUAAAGAAGGGAAUGUAAGCAUAUCACAUAUGCAGUAUGCCCCUAUAGACUGCAGCCUUUUGGGGCCUAAUCGCCAAAAUACAAGUCACCAUGAAAAGCAACAUAAGAAUAAAAGAUCUGACGGAACAUAGAACAAAAUACCAAGUGUAACUGAUUCACAGUCAUUUUUAUUGCAAAAAAUGCAGAAGCAAUACCCUUUCUAGCCUUUGCAGAAGUGCAGUUUUAAACUGUCGCACGCCGCGACCGCUCGAAGUUGGAUCCAGUCGGUGAGCCUUCUCAAAUGCAUAGAAACGGCCUGCUCAUCCACAAAGGCCGGGCAGCACAUAGGCAACAAAUAAAAAAGAAGACCAAGGAUAAUAUCUUCAGAGCUUCCAACAAAAUUAUUUAUUAAGAGCAUUAAUAAAUAUACUUAAACAAAAGAAUUUGAAUAAUGAUGAGAGCACAACUAGUGUGCUAACAAGCAAAGAAAACAAGCAAACAGUAAAGAAACCAACCAGCUACUAAGCAUGCAAGGACAAAAACACCUAGAAGCUAUGAUACUCUAGACAUAGGAAUGCUGACUAAGUAAACAACAGAAGUGAAGAAUCGAGACAAUUGCCAAUAUAUAGGCAAAACUCAUGUAGAGCUUACAUGAACUAUGUAGCACCUUUUGAACUAGGUAUAUGAACUUUAAAAGGUUUUGAUUUUAUUAUUUAACCUCAAAUUAUUUUUGAAACAGUUAACGACCAUCAGAAAUUUUGAUUAUACUACCAAACCUUACAACAUUUGCAACCUUUUUGACGGUGCACUCCUUACCUUUUAGACAGUGUACUCCAUCAAAUAAAAGGAUAUUCUGUUACAUUACAAAACAUCCAGUCCAAAAUGUUACAACUAUGCAAGUUAGGCGACUAAACUUUUUGAAACAAAGGUACAGAUUUUGAAAUGCUCUACAGUUCAGGAAAGGUUUGUAUGUUUUCCCCUAAUUCAUACAAAACAGAAAACAGAAUGAUACUACAUCAUCGUACUUCAAUGAUUGUACUUGGUAAAUAUUUCCAUCUGACUAAAGGUACCUUGCAAACAAUCCACCCUCCAGUAAGUAUCACGACAAUUUUCCAAAUAACAUAAUUUUAAGCUGCACCAAUACUGGCUAUUCCUUGCAAUCCAUCAUGAAGGGAAACUCGCAACAACACAAUCCACUAGUCACUAGAUGGUAAUUUCGACCAGAGAUCCAAAACAGACUCCUCUAAAACACUUCUUAGUCUAAUAAUGUGCAGUAAAUAGCAAACCGUUAAGAGCUCAGUAACUUCAUAGACCGAUCUCAGCUAGAUUGAAUCAAGGUUAGCUCCUUAGAUAAAACAGCAAAAUCUUCAAGCAAAAUCGAGAUAAUGUUAAGAGAUUAGCGGGCUAUUUGGUCCAGCAACGGCUUUCGGUGAAAUGCUGUCCAAAUAGAGCUGUUUCACAAGCUCCGAACAGCUUUGUCGACAAGCUCCAAACUUAAGUAAGAAGCUAAAAGCUCCUUGGCACUAAAAAAAACUCAUCUCAAAAAUGCCACAAAAACUAAAAUACUACCGAAAAACCCACGCAAAAGAAUUGUAACAAAAGCGGGGGAAGGGAUAGGAAAAGGCGAGAACUCACAGAGGUAAGCGACGCGAGGGUUGAUCGAUUCGACCUCGUUAGCGACGCGAAGGAUGGGAGCGAUCUCAACGAGCGAGGAGGGAACCAACUCACUAUCAAAGAUCGACUCCCCGAGGUUCCCCGCCGUUUGCGUCCGCAUGAUCCGCCGCGGCCCCGGCGGCUCGGGGCCUCUCCUCGACGACGACAUCCUCCUCGCCCAACUCUCCUUCUCAAGAACCCUAAGCCAAAGACACCGAUCAGAGCCCAAAUCGCAGGGAUCCGAGCUCCCACAGAGCUCGAGACCGCGAGAAGUGAAGCAAUCACCUAGGGUUUAAGGAGCAGCGCUACCACUUACUGCUACUGAAGUGGUUACUCGCACGGAUAACCCGACCUCGGCAUGGGAGGCGGGGAUCGGAGGUCGAGAGGAGACGAAACCCUAGCUCGAGGAAGAAGACGAAGGUAGAGAUAGAGAGAGAGAGAGAGAGAGAGAGAGAGAGAGAGAGGUGUCUGCGGCAACGUAAAGCGAACGAGUAAGCGGAGAGAGUGAUGGUGAGAUAAUAAGAAAAGGGGGAUGUCGCUGAGACCAUCGAGGAGUGGAGGGGUCAGAGUGUAAUUUAUUGCGCUGCGACCGAGGCGGUCGUUCGAAAUGGGGCAGGGUUUUUAGGAUUUAUUGCGGUUUUGCCACUGACACUGGAUUAGCGAAACGGCGCGGUCUUAAUUAGCCUUUAAUUACAUUUACUUUCCGCGGUUACGAGAUUCAUUAUUAUUUUUAAAAAUUUUUUCUUUUGAAAAUGUAUAGGGACCUCCUAGAUUAUAGGCAAUUAUGAAAUAGCUACUCAAACUUCUUUUUUUCUUUUUUUUUAUUAGUUGCAUACAACAUUUUAUAAUAAAAUACAAUUGCAUAUGUAUCCAGAAGCAAUAACGAUCACCAUUUUAAUUUUAUAGAAUUAGAAAAGAUGAAAUUAUAAGAGUUAUAAAUUUUUUUGAGCUUUUAAAAUAUAAAAAAUAAUAUUCUUCACCCUUUAAAUUAUUAAAUUCAAUAUUAGAAAAACUAAUGAAAAUAGAAAUAAUUUUAUAAGCCAAAUGACAAAAAUAAAUAAAUUCGAUAUAUAUAUAUAUAUAUAUAUAUAUAUAUAUAUAUAUAUAUAUAUAUAUAUAUAUAUAUAUGUCAGCUUGAGCUGAUUUAAAAGUAACAGUAAUAUGCGGCGAUUGUUUUUUUUUUUCAAAAAAAAUAUCUUUAGUUUUAUAUAUUAAGGAUAAAAUCUAAUAGUUUUUAUAUAAUUUUGAUUCAUACUUUACUUAUAUAUAAUUAAUGCUUCUAUAAAAUAUAUAAUAUAGUUUUGGCUCAUAAAAAAAAUAAUUUAUUGCAAAAAAAAUAUGUAUAAUAAUAAAAAUAUUAUUUUUGUUGGAAACAAAACGAGGUUAGAGUAUUGGACAACGUUGUACAUAUCCAACUUAAUGGAAAUAAAGAGAGAAAAGCAGGGGCAUUUUCGUAAAAACAGCAACGUGCCCCCCAAAAUGUGCAUUACCAUAUAUACUGUUGUUACUGUGCAAGCCUCUGAGAUUUGAAUUUCAAAAAAAGAGUAAAAAUUAAAAAAUUAAAAAAUUAAAAAUUAAAAAAUAAAAAUUAUGUUGCGUAAAUUGUCCGCAUAAAUUUCGAGAAAUUUGGAUGUUACUUUUCGCCAACCGGGCAAAAAGCAGAAUUUCAGCAAGGCCCCUGGAUUUCGCCGAAAUUACAACUUUACCUUCGCAAAAAGUGGUGGUGCGCGCGGAUUGAGGCCCCUUUUUAUUUUUUGGUUGCUGUGACUCGAAACUGGAAAGGGUAUCGAUAAAGCACCGACGAGGGUGACGUGGAAAUUUGGAAAAGUAUGGUGGCGUUUUUACAAAAAAAUAAUAAUAAUAAUAAUAAUAAUGAUAAUAAUAAAUAAAUAAAUAAAUAAUAAUUCUGAUAAAUUUUAGUGUGGCUCUUUCCCCGCCCCACCAUGUUCUUUUGUUGGGGAGAGUGUACUCUCAAAAUUGGAUAAAAAUUUUGUGGUCACCUUCCCCAAACUAAUAAUUUGGGGACGGUGGCGGCUUUUCCUUUUCCUCUACUGCUCUCUCUUUCUCUCUUUCUCUCAGCUACCGUUUGAUUUGGGAUUAAAAAAAAACUAAUUAUUUUAGAAAUAGAGUUAAGUUUAGAGUUAAGAUUGAGUUAAAGUAUUUUUAUGUUUAGUUAGAAAUUGGAGUUAAUUCAGGAUAGUGAAAAAUAAUAUUUGAUUGGAAUAGGUGGAAUAAAAAGGAUAGUGAAUUAUUAUAAAUAGAAAAUAAUAUUUGGUUGGAAUUUUGUGGGGUUAGGUGGAGUUAGCUAACCCGGAAUAACCCAUUUGAGGUGGGAUUAGCUAAUCCCACCCAUUGUUAGAAGUAUUUGGAGAUAAAAUGGGGGUUAAAGAGUUAUUCCACCUCUUUAACCCCCAACCAAACGGAGGCUAAAACAUCGGACAACUCUUUUUUUCUUUUUCCUUUUUUUUUUUUUUUUACUUUCAUAGGUGGCCGCUGGAUGGGCCACAUGGCACCCAUCCGCACGAUUUCCAACGAUGCUUAUAAAUUUUUUGUCCCUCAAAAUUGAACUCUAAUAUCAGCUUUAUUUUACUGAUAUGCACAAAUUUUAAAGCAAUUUGACGACUACAAAUUUAUAUAAUUAUUAAUAUUUUUGGGCUUUUAAAAUAUAGAAACUCAGAGUUUGACUGGGCUACUAUCGGUAACUUCAGCAAAUUUAAUUUCUUAAAACCAAACAGCAAACAGCAGGACCGAUUUGGUCCAGAUUCCGAUGAGAGCCAGGUUUCCGAUGUGUGAAAUAAAAAGGACGCAUUUAAUGUCCGUCAGGACCGUGCGUUAGGGUGGCCGAAUCUCAGGAAAUACGCGAGCGGCGAAUGUAGACGAGGGGCAUUUUGGUCAGGCGGCUAAAAUUCCGGUCCGAAUCUGCAAAAUCGAAAAAUGUGACUCAUUUUUGCAAAAGCACAAAACUGGUGAUUUUUUUAUGGAAAUUGGCCUCUUUUAAAUGUGCCGAAUGAAUAUAAAUUUUAAAGUUAAAGUAAAAAAUUAACAGCUGAGACUUAAUCAAAUUAAAUAAAAGAGAAAACUUUUAAUACCACCAAUGUGGUUUCACAGUUUCUCACUUUAGUGCCAUAUGGUUUAAAAUGUAUAAUUUAGUGCCAUGUAGUUUCUUUUUUAUUUUUUUAUUAUCGAUUCUACCAAAUUUUUUCGUUAAAUUAGUAACAAAUUUAAAACUAAAGAGUACUAAAGUGAAUAUCCGAUAAAUUUAUGCGGAGUAUCUGAAGUUUUUUAUAUAUAAUUUAACGAAAUAUUAAUGAAAAAGCUGACGAAAAGAUAAAUAUGAAACAACAUGACACUAACUUAAUACAUUUUAAACCAUGGGGUAUUAAAGUGAGAAAAUACCAAACUACGGGGCAAUAUUUGAAGUUUAUUCUAAAUAAAAAAUUUUAAAAAAACUCAAUAGUAAAGAAAAAAAUUGAGGACUAAAAUAAAAUUUGAACAAUAUUUUCAACCCACUAAUAGUAGUAAUAAUAAUAAUAAUAAUAAUAAUGCGAUUAAUCCUCAAUUGUUUAUCAUUGGGUGGUUCUUUGUUGCUAUCAUGUAUUGAUUGAUUGAUUAAUAUGUGAUAUGUCAUCUUUGAGCUUGACUCAAUCCUCUCUAGGCGAUAAUUAACUUCGUGAGAACAAAAAACCUUUUUAGGAAGUGUUCAUUUAAAAAAAAAAAAAAUUAAUUGAUUUGGAUAAUUGAGGACGUGUUUGAUAAGGGCUUUUUUAUAAAAUAACCUUCCAGAAAUUCGAUUUUGGCAAAAUAAUUCUACCAAAAUUUUAUUUGUAAAACUAAUCCUCCUUUCGCCACGUGGGCGCCACGUCAGGAAUUCCUCAAAAAAACGGUGAAUCGUUCACCAUCUUUGUAAUUUUUGUUGUAAAAGCGGUGAAUGGUUCACCGCCUUCUAAAGGCGGUGAACCAUUCACCGUCUUUAGUACAAAAUUUUUCUUUCCGCUCUUUUCCCUUUCCGCCCUCUCAAGUCCGCCGUUUCUGUACCCUCGAGAAGACGGAGAACGAUUCAUCGUCUUAUCAAGGACACCAUAUUAUGGACUUGGAAAGAUUUGUGUAGAAUAGAGAUUUGUACUAAAAACGGUGAAUGGUCCACCGUCUUAUAAAGACGGUGAACCAUUCACCGCCUUCACAAUAAAUAUCAAAGACGGUGAACGAUUCACCGUCUUUUUAAAAAAUCUCUGACGUGGCGCCCACGUGGCGAGAGGAGGGUUAAUUUAACAAAUAAAAUUUUUACAGAAUUAAUUUGGCAAAUACAAAAUUUUACAGGAUUAUUUUUGAAAAAAGUCCGUUUGAUAACUUUGCUUGAAGUCCAAUAAAGUAAAAGAUGACAACAAGCGCCGUAGACAAACUCGACUCUGCUGUCUGCAUCAGCUGUUGACAGAGUUAGGAAUCUGGGGCUUUUUUCUUUUUCUUUUUUAUAAAAUUUAAUUUUUUAUAUUAUUUUUUAAACAAAUUAUUAUUUUAAAAUAUGAUUCUAUUGUUCGAAUCCGUUAGAAAAUUUUAAUUAAUUAUAAAUAAAAUACUUAAUCCUGAUUCAUCCACGACGCAUGUUGCUUCGUCCAUGUCGAAUGCGUGUUGCUUUUCUAUUCAAUUUUCUGUAUAGGUUUUUCUUAUUUUGCUCAAAAUAAAAGAUUUUGGAGAAAAUAAGUGAGAGAAAAGAUUGCAAUAAUAGUGGAUUAGGUUGAGUUUUAAAAAGAGAGAGAAUGAGGAAGAAAAUGAUCAUUAAAAAGUUCUUGGGAGAAUAUUUCUGCACGAUUAUAAUAGUUGAAUUUUUUGAGAGAUAUAUUUGUUAUGGAAAAAUUGACAUUUUAUUUAUCUGCAGUUAAAAGAUAAAUAGUUCGCUAAUGGUAACAAAACAGAGAGACAAAUAUGAAUAUUAUAGAUUUUUUACAGGGAUAACAUAAAAAAGUUAAAUUUCGUAGGAAUAUAUUUACAAUUCACUAUAUUUAUACGAAGCUAUAUACAAUUAACCUUUUUUUUGGUAUUUAUCUUUCUAAAAAAAAUUGUAAAUGACCCUCUAAAAUUAUAAUUGCAUAAAUAAAUUUUUUUUAUCAUAUUUUAAAAUAUGGUAAAUAAAUAACUGUCCUUAACUUAAUAUUUUCAAUAGAUCAUGAUGCUUGUGUGGAUAACUAGAGAAUCAUUUCUACAAUUAUAAUUUUACAAUGGUCAUUUGUACAAAAAAAAAAAACAAAAAACAAAAGAAUCCAAAUGUCAAAAAAUCCACAGAGUUUGAAUGAGACAUAAAGAUUUACGUGAGAAAUUCUUUGCAAGAAAAAAAUCACAGGUGAAAAAUAAGAGAACUUCAUUAUAAAAAAAAAAGUACAGAAUUUGUAAGUACAAUAUGCUGUAUCACAUAUAGGGCAAAAAGAAAAAACAGAUUUCUUAACGGAUUUGAAAUUUGAUUCAUACCCGAACUCUCCCCUACUUAUCAUAGGCAUCUAUUUUUUCGUUCAUAAUUUUUAUCGCAUUACAAAAUUAUCGACAAAUCGAGAGCCCGAAAUUAAAGUCGAUAACUAAAUUUUGAGUCACAUAUGACACUUAUUACAAACCUA
RNAcentral lists this long non-coding RNA (52578 nucleotides) under Ananas comosus (pineapple). RNAcentral describes it as "long non-coding RNA (ACOM_LNC031943)". The record is from RNAcentral. Lineage: Eukaryota; Viridiplantae; Streptophyta; Magnoliopsida; Poales; Bromeliaceae.